UCAUAGCAAUAACAUCCCUGUGGAUGUUAUCUUCAGUACUGAUCAGGUCUUCCGAUGCUGCUGGAAUUGCCACCUACUGGGGCCAACACACCGACGAAGGAAGCCUGGAAGACGCAUGCCGGAGAAAUACCUACGACUACGUGAAUCUUGCCUUUCUGAUAAAUUAUGGCGGUGGCCAGACACCAGAAUUGAACUUAGCUGGGCAUUGUGAGCCAAGCGAUUGCUCCUCGCUUAGUUCUGAGAUAAAAGCUUGCCAGAGCCGAGGCACCCAAGUGCUUCUUUCUCUCGGUGGAGCUCCAAACCUCUCUUCCGCCGAUGAUGCCAAGGAAGUCGCGUCCUAUCUCUAUAAUAAUUUCCUUGGCGGUAAAUCAGAAAAUCGUCCAUUAGGCGAUGCUGUCUUAGACGGAAUAGACUUUCAUAUCCAAGCUGGAAAGAGGGAUUUCUUGGAUGAUCUCGCCAAGGCGCUCUCAGAAUAUAGCACAUCAGAGAGAAGGGUGCACUUAUCUGCAGCACCACAAUGUUUCUAUCCUGACUAUUAUCUCGACGCUGCUAUCAGAACUGGCCUCUUUGAUUAUGUGUGGGUGCAAUUUUACAACAAUCCGCCUUGUCAGUAUAGUAUGGGCAAUGCCAACAACCUCUUCUACAGUUGGAGUUCUCAUUGGGCUUCAUACCCAGGAGUUAAUAAACUAUUCCUGGGAUUACCUGCAUCCCCUGAAGCCGCUCCUAGUGGCGGUUACAUUCCACCUCGGGUGCUUAUUCGCGAAAUUCUUCCCUAUGUCCGGGGCUAUCCCAACUAUGGAGGCGUCAUGCUUUGGAACGCAUUCUAUGACGAGAAUUACAGUCAGGCAAUCAGGCCUUAUAUUAACCCUGAAACGCUGGCUUGCGAUCGCAAGUCCAUGCUAAAGUCCCCAAGCAAUUGCGACAUAAAGAUAAAGUCUUAUGUGACUAAAUAAGUUCCUCUCGUUGUCAUAUGAGAGAUGAAAAAAUGUAAUCAUGGCUGUCUAAGCCAGAGAUAACGUGAAUAAAUAUAACAUGGGUUAUCAAUCCCCAGAGUUUGAUUGUCAAUUCGUGUUUGUUCUUGAUUAUAAUUUAGCACGAACGAUAUCAUUAGUUCUAGUUUCCUCUUAUUCUUCGGGAAAAAAAGGUAUUAAAGAAGAAAAGAACAUGCAAAAAGUGCCAGAUCAAAGUCAAUAUCAUUAGAGAUAUAUGUUCUCCAAAAUCAAUGUGUUCAUACAAGAACCUUUUAUGUUUCGGCACAUCUCUACUGUUGAGAAUAUUUAUGGUUCUGUUUGCUUCCACUCAAUGUUUAUAUUAUAUGUAAAACUAAACUUCCAUCACUUCCAGACUUUAAUGUGAAUUGACGGAGCAGCACAAUUAUCCUGGAAAGUUAUGAAUAAUGCUUUUUUUUUAAUAAUGAAAACAAUGAUGGCCAAAACUUAAGAUUGGUGUAAAAUUCAGUUUAUAGUUUCACAUUAAAAAUUAUAAGGAUGGUAUGAACGCCACCAGGUACUUAUUAUUGUGUUUUAAACUUGAAAAGCACAUUUUUUUUUAUUUGGUUUUUUAUGACACGAUAACUUGAUGAUCCAAUUAUUCAAGUUGCCAAAGAGGGUGGCUAGAAAUAAAAGUCUAAAAUUGAAGAACUAAGUGCACUUUUGAUAUACUUGAAUUUAUUGUUUAUUAUAUGGAAAUAGUUUUUCAAUUUCAAAUGAUUUUGAUAUUUCGAAUGCUUUGGCAAGUUUAUUUGGACAAAGCUGUAGAAGCAGAAUAAGGGAAAGCCUUGGAAUAUAAUGAUGAUGAUGCUAAAAAUGAAGAUGUUAGUGUUUGAUUUGCAAAAGCAUUGGUAAGAAUAGUACUUAUUAUCUAGCUCUUUGGCCUUAUUAGUUUUUAGAUUUUCCUAAUAGUGUCAUUCUACACUUGUUUUUCUUUUUCAAGAUGAAGAAGAUUCAGCUGGUAGAGAAGUCAAGGAAGAGAUUAUAAUUUGUGUUGGCUUUAUUGUAGUACAAUUUAAUUAUUUUUUGGUAAAAUUUUAAUGUCUUUAUUACCAAGCAAUUAUGGAUUGUAAUCUCUCAAAGAAAAGGAAAAAACAAGAGAGAUUAUAUUAUUGAGAAAUUCUAUUAAUAAAGAUAAAGCUGUAGAAUAUGUAUACAAUGAUAAAUUACAACAAGUUACCAUAUUAUACAUUUCCAAUUUUUCAAAAAAAAAAUUUGAGAACAACACAACUACAAUUUUACUAUUUACAAGAUUUCACGACAAGUACUCACUCCCGCACCUUGCGUGGGUUCACCCCUAGUUUCACAAUAUGAGAAUAAGAAGAAAUAUUUACAGCAAAGUUUAGAGACUCUAGAAUACAGGAAUGGGACAGGUACGAUCGACUACAGGUGCAAUUGACGCAGUUGUUAUACCCUUUUCAUGAUUUGAUUUAUACUUACAUAAUUUCGCUGUAUUUUAUGAUUUGGUGUAUACUCACAUAAUUUUUAUUAUAUUUCAUGAUAAAUAAUAAAGUUAUAUGAGUAUAUAUCAAAUUAUAAAAAAGUACAAUAAUCGUGCCAACCACAACUAAUACCACACCGUACUUGUCCUACUGGAAUACUUAGUUAAUAUUCGAGACUGAGACCAUAGAGCAUUAAUCCUUCUCACAUUGUAUCAAACAGAGGUACUGUUUGACAAUUGAAUUUUUUGGGUGUUUGUCCAAAAUUUUACUAUAAGUUAUCGUAAAAUUUGUAAAAAAAAAACUUGUUUGGAUGGUAAAACUUUCUUCCUUUUUUUUAUCUUUUCUUUUUCCUCUCCUCUUGUUUCUCCCCCACCCAACCAUUGCUCUUCCUCCUCCCCUUCUUCCCACUACUAGCCACCAUUGCCGGUACCUUUGUCGGCAAUCGACAACGGUGCCAGUAGACCUAUUUUUUUCUUACUCUCUUUUCUCCCCUUCUCCCCCCCUCUCCUUCCUCCCUUUCCUCCUUUCUUCUCCUUCUUUCCUCCUUCCUACUCCCUCCCUUUGGGAGAUGGAGGACCGGAAGGGGGAGCGGGAUAGGGAGGGAGGAGGAAGGAGAUAGAGGAGAUGAGGAGAGGAAGGAAGAAGGAAGUAGAAGAGGGGAAGAGGAGAGAAGGAGGGGAAAAAAGGGAUGAGGUUGCCAAAGGCGCCGCCAAAGUGCCAACUAGCAGUAGUGGUGAUGGUGGGUUGAGACGUGGGAAGGAGGAAGAAGAAGAAGAAGAAGAAAAGAAAGAAGGAAAAAAUUUUUUUGUGUGUUUUUAGAUAUUUUCAAGUGUGUAUGUUGAAAAGUUCUUGAAGAGUUUUUUUUCAUUUUAUUGUAGUUAAAACUGUUAAAAAAACUUACAAAUGAAAAACUUAACAAAAAACUCGCUAAAUAGGACUAGAGUUUUGAUGGGCUAUGAUGACACAACGGAGGCAGCUCCUCCAUCCAGCCUAAGGAUAACAACAGAUGCAGCUCCUCCAUCCAGCCUAGGGAUAUCUGUAAUCUAAAGAAAGCUCCAGAACAGAGAGGUGGAACCAGAAAUAGUUUCUACUAGGCGCACAAACUGCUCCUAUUGGUUAAUUAGAUUGAGUUACAACUUAGAUCAAUGGCCUAAACCUUAACCACUACAAUCACCGACGCAUUUUUCUUUUCUUUUGCUCCAAAAAAAAGCUUAAAGUUAUAGUAAAAAUUAUUGGUAACAAAUGAAAAUCUAAAUUUAGCUCUAAAGUAGGCUAUAUUAUAGUAAUUGAUCCUCUCCUUAAUUUCACUCUUCCAGUAACUUUGAUAUAUCAUAAAUGAUCAUCCAUUAUUAUAGAUCUUGCUUUCUCCUUUCAAAAAUUUUUAAUUUGGAGCAAACUAUUUGAUUUUUAGUCAAGUUCCUACGUUGCACAACUCUACAUUGUGGAAUCUGUGAUUCGUAGUAUCUUGCCAAAUCUUCUUAAUUUGUUUAGUAUCUUGCACAAUCCAGCUUGGAAAGUUGGACUAGUUUGGGAAGUAAAAGAAAUGGAGUGUUGCUCCUAAUUUUUGGCCAUGAGGAAGAGAUCAACAAUUUGUUCAAUAUUUCUUCUUUUAACAUUAAAAGGAAAUGAAGGAGUGCAACAUAAAAUCUCAUAAAAUUUAGAAUCCUGUGUUUUGAUUGCACCCAAAAAAAGAAGAUGAGGUGGAAUUGUGAACACGAUAGAGACUUAGUAGAAUUAAUCAAAAGAAUUUAUUCUGGGAAUUAAUCAAAAGAAACCAUAAAAUAUUAUAGAAUUCAAUGGCCUAGACAGCAUUUGAUAAAACUGAAAAUUGAUUUCUGAAAUAUAAAGACUGAAAACUAAUUCCUAAGUUCUUAAUUUGCUUAUAUCCAUGAAGUCACAUCUAUUUGAUAAUCAAUUUAAUGCAAGCAUUGAAUUGAAAUAUUUAUUCCAUAUGUAUUUUGUAGUUUUUUUUUUCAACCAAACGUUGUACCAUUAUUCAAGCUGCCCAAGAAUACAAUGCUGGGAGGAAGGCCGCACCCUUACCUCCGAAACGAGAAACGAAAAUUACAAAAAUUCUGCUUAUCCAGUGCCAGUAACCCUCUAGUACGACACAGUAAUUGAGAAGCCCAAUGUAUUUUGUAGUUUAAUCCUAAAUGUGAAAGGUGUGUUUUAUGUUAGAUUAAUUUUUAAAUAUUAUUUUUUUGAUAAAUGUUUGUUUGAAAGAAGAAAAGCAUAGAUUCUACAUGUUUGAAGGGGAGAUUGUAUUUAGAUGUAUUAUAUAGAAGAAAAAAAAUAUAUAUAUAUAUAUUCUAGCGAGAGAGAACGUGUGUGGAUGUGUGAAAAUGUGAUCGAAAGAGAGUGUGUGUAUACUGUGUGAAAGUGUAUUGGUGAGCGCAAUGAUUCUUUUGAGUGAAUAUGAUUAAUACAUAUACUAGUUCAACAAAUUAAGUGAUACAACUUUCGUGUAAAUUUUUGUAUGUAAAUCAAAUGUGUCAUAAAUAUAAGCAAAUUUUAUUAUCAAACAAAUGUAGCAGGAAAGAAGUACUUAAUACAAUAACUUUGCGUACUUAAUGAGGUUAUCAAAUAUCUCCUUAACUCUAGAAAAAUAGUCUAUUAACAAAUUUGUGUUGAACUUAUUAAAUUGAACCAUGAAAUUUUUCCCAAGACCUCCAUUUAAUAGUGGGAUUUGUGUUGCAACAUGGUGAGGAUAUUGGACAGGUAACUAUGAGGUCGUAGUCAAACUUUCAAGAGAGAAGGAAAUGGUAAAAGAGCUCUUUACUUGGCUUUAAAUGCUGUAUCUUUAACGGGUAGGGUUUUUUUGGGAAGGGUUCCAAAAACAAUCAACGAAGGCUAGUGGCAAAUCAGCACGGAAAGAAGAUAAACCGAGAUUUCGGCGGCAGCUGGCAUACUUUCUUUCCUGAUUGCGAAACACCAUGUCGAAGCUAGGGUAUUUUAUCCAACCAGCCUAGAUUAGAAUUUCAAGACGUACGGCUUCUUCGAGUAAAGAAAGUUCAGCCACGAACACUCCUUUCACGACCUAUUCAGAACUAAGUACACCUUAGAACAGAAGUGCUCGUUAACUAGAUUCCCUUCUUAUUUCAAAAUCAAUACUGAUGGGUCCUCGAUCCAUGGGGAACUCGGGUCCAGCUGGAUCAGGUGACUUGAAUAGAAAUCACCUAGGACACUAGGUAGCGGCCUUUAGCAAAAAAUUAGGACCCAUUACCAAUAUCCUUGCUCAGUUGUGGGGGACAAGAGAUGGGGUAUCCUUAGCUUCCUCUCUCACUUGCAAAAUAUUGAAUUAGAAGUUAAUGCUAAAACUGCUCUAGAUUUGAUUAAAUCUGUUGAUACCUCAACUCAUGAGUAUGAUUCAAUUAUUUCUAAUUGGCAGGUUCCUGAUCUCUGUUCUGUCGAAAGUUAUACUUAGAUAUACUUAUCGAAAGUUAAUCAGUAUGAAGAUAGAUUAACGAAAUUAGGUGCUCAGCAAGACACGAUUUUUGUAUGUUAUGAAAGUGUCCCUCCUAAUUUAAAAAUCUAGUAGAUGCAGAUAUUAAGGGAAUUUGUCACUUUGUGCCUAUAACUUAAUAGUCCCUUUGUUACAAACAAAAAAAAAAAAAGAAAGAAAGAAAGAAAGAAGGUUCAGCGACUGGCAUUUGUUCAAUAUGAAUCAUAUUACAAAAAAGGGGUUCAUGAAACAUGCAACACCACACUGCAGAAGUGGUAGGCGCCGCAUCUAUCGAUGAUGAUUGAGACCAAACUUGAUGAGAAGAUUCUAAAACAGGUGUCUCAAGAAAGCUGUAAUAGAAAAACAUGUCAACGUAAUCAGGAUUUCCAUCGUAGAAUUUAGCAAACCGCAUAUACCCUAGAUCCUGAAAUCCUUGGUGCAACUGACUCAUCAUUAACAGAGCUAUGUUUGAAAAGAUGUCAGUUUCUGCAAGAGCAUGAACCUCAAAAGAAUUUGAAGAAAUUGUCACUGGUGGAGAUAGGUAUCAAGGAUGAAUUUUGCAGUUAACUUGGUGCAAAAGUACAGGAAUCUCGUGACUCUGAAAACAAGAAUCAGGACGGGUUUGAAACUAUCAAUUUGAAAAGAGAAAACACAUUCAAGAGGCAAUAUUUUAAGUUGUUUAACGAAUAAAAAUGUUGAAAAGUAUAUUAAUAGAAACUUGUAAAAAUGAAAACUUACAUGAACGCAACUGUGGCCUAUACAUUUUUUUGCCUGUGACAACAUUUUUCCUUCUUUAUAUUUUUUUAACUUUAGUGCUGUCAAUUCAAUUUAAAGUAUCUUUCAUUUCAGCAUACCUGUCCAUUGAUAGUCUCAUACUUUAUGAAUUACUUUGUUUUUUUUUGAGCACUUCAUGAAAAACUUUGUCAUGUUAUGACCCAAUAAUUUGUCCAUAACCUGUGAUCGACUUUUUUCUGAGCACUUGAUGAAAAACUUUGUCGUGUAUUGUUCUAACAAUGUGUUUUCUAACAAUUUUGUCCAUAACCUUUGACUCAAUUUACUCGCAACCUAAUGAAUACACAAGCACCCUACUCCCGCACAAUUGGACGGGCUUAAUUCUCUAGUCUUUUUUUUUUUUUUUCUCUUUUGAUAAAAACAUCAUCAUUUUGUUGAAUCUGUAGUAGUGGGAGAAAUUACAUCAAUGAUAUAUAGAUAUAGAUUUGAAGAACAAAUGCUAGAUGUUGUAGAUCUGAAUAAUCAAAAGCGUCUUUAUUGUGGAACUCAAAAAACAUCAAAUGAUAUCUGCGCAUACUUCCACCGAUACCAUUUACUUUCUCCUAAAUAUGCUCAUGAACUGAUUCAAGCCUGGAUGCUUAGAUGAGAUCUGAAGAGAUAGAUUUAAGAAAUCUCAAAUCUGGCAACUAAGUCUUAAAAAAAAUUAGAUCUAACACUAGAAAUAGAAAAACUACAAAAAGUCCACUAAGAAUCCACAAAAUCACCAACAUCAUCUUUACUGCAGCCAUCGUCGACCAUUCGAUCUUCAAUUUUACUUCCCUUCGAUCAACUUUUUUUCAUCAGAUUUCAUCAUAUCAUCAACCUUAUUUCAUCAAAUUUAAAUUUCACAAUCCUAAAAAGGAUAAACCAAAACAUCAAAAAGAGCCCAAUCUUGCAAAAUUUUAACCUUGCACACCACUGAAUUAAGCCCUCUUUUGCAAAAUUUCUUUUUCAUAAAAAUUUGUGAGAAUUAAUGUGUGCAACCUAUGAAUGUUUGGAUUUUUUUAGAUUAUUAGUCUUCUUGAAUUUGUCCCCUCCUUAAUUUAUUUAGUCAUUUGUAUGCAAUUUUGUAAUCAUAUAUUCUUUUUACGUGAGGAAGACUGAUUUUGGAUGAAUUUUCUAUUGACUCAAUAUCAAAUUUGCCAUAGCAUGUUGGAAAAAUGCCUAAACUAAAUUCAUGGUUGUUCAUUGUUUCUUUCUUCUUCUCUUUUUGUUUUUUUUUGGUGUAGCUAGAUAUUGAAAGGGUUGAAGAAAGGGGAAGGAAAAUUUAGUAUUGAAUUUGAGUCUUUGCACUUGCAAUUAAUUUGUAGGUGUUCUUGGUUUCUUACAGUUGAUGACGGAUUAUUACUGACGAGUUCCAUGUGAACUAUCUUCAAUUACAAAUAGAAAUAAACCGGAAAUAUUUCUUAGAAUGGUACCCUAAGAUAAUGAUUAUGAAAUCAAUAAUCAUCGCAAGUGGAUUGUCAUAAUUAAAUAUGUAAAGAUAUAUAAUACUGCAGCCGGUUUGUUUGUGAUGGCUAAUCUUUUCCUAUGUGCUCCAUUUAGUGAAACUUCAUCUAUCUUGAUCACGUGAACCACGUACAAUCAUAUGUACAACCAGUUAAUUUAUUUGGGUCCUUGCAAGUAAAUUUUCAAUUCAGAUUUAUUGUUUGCUUCGGGAUAGAUUUAACUUACCAAAAAAGAAAAAGUAAAUUUCAGCAGCAAAGCCUUCAAGUAAUUUUGAAGUGGGAAAAUCAUUUAAAAGUCCCUCACAUUUCACUAAAUAAAAAUUUUUUUAUCCUUCACUUUAAAAUAAUAACUUUACGUUUCUUAUAAAAUCAAGUCAGUAAAAUUUAGUUCAACUUAAGUUUUUUACUACUUUUUACCCUGAAUUCAUCACAUAAUCCAAAUAUGGUCAUUUUUUUGGGACAAAAAGGUUAAAUCUCAUUUGUAGUCAAACAAAUGAUUUGAUCCAUAACUAUUUUGACACUAAAGAGUAGGAUCUGAUCUAAAUCAUAUUUAUUUUUCUCUUGAAAAGUGGGAUCUAAUUUAAUUCAUAUUCAUUUUUAUCCUAAAAAAGUGAAAUUUGACUUUUUUGUAUAUAAAAUAAUUUCAUGGGAGUCACAUGGUGAUUUCAAGUUAAAAAGUGGUAAAAAAAAACUUAGAUUCGAACCAAAUUUUGUUAACUUGAAUUUAUAAGGAACCUAAAACUAAUAUUUUAAAAGAAAAACGAAAAAAUUCAUUUGACAAAAUAUACGAGACAUUUUGAAAGAUUUUCCCUUCUGAAGUUGUCUUUUGAAUAUUACCUAUCCUUUGAUUUCCUAUUGUACUCCCUUUCAGUGAUUUAUUGGGAGCUCCUCUUUGGAAAUGUUCCUCACAAUGGGAUCUCAACGUUAUUUGAAAACAUGAAAAUUGCAAAGACAAGUUGGUCAUAAGCCGAUGACAUUAGCCUUAUUUGGAUUACAAGUUUUCACAGAAAAAUUUUAAAAUAUUUCUUGACAUAUUUUUUAAUCACAUUUUUAUCUUAUAUAUGUCAUAUUUAUUAUUAUAAUAUUUUUUUUUUAUAAAAUGCUAUAAACUUAUAUACAUCCUAUUAUCUUAUGUAUGUCAUAUUACUAUAGUAUAUUUUCAACGAGACUGUGAACUUACAAUUCAAACUGUAACUUUCAUUUUAGUGCGUCCCUUCUAAGUGAUUUUAGUGCGUUCACUUCAAUUCAUGCACGUGAAGGGGAAGGACUGGUCCAGAAUUCUGUAGAAGGACAAUAAUUUGGGUAAGGACUGGAAAAUUCAAUUGAAACAAGACAAGAAUGUCGCAUUCGAAGUGCGAUAAUUUUGGUGUCAAUCAACGUCACUAUUAAAAGAAGAUAAGAUUGUUGAUAAAUCCAUACAUCAAAUCCGUAUCCAAUAUCUUUACUCGAAAAUUGUGCUCCCGCAAGAAAGUACAAGUAAACUCUUAUAUUCAUCAAAUAUGAUGUGGCCGACAGAAAAGUUCAGGCUAAGAUGCUCUUAUACUUGAGUGAAGGGAGAAGGUUGAUUUAAAUUAUUACUGUCAAAGAAAUUCAUUUAACUAAAUUUAUCUAUAUUCGCUCAUAAAUAAAUGAGUAUGUGUAUAUUAAAUUUUUACAUAUGGAUAUAAAUGAAUAUUAUUAGAUAACCCAUCAAACUUAAUUAAUCCAUUUAAAAUUGUCUUCUCCCAAACUUUCUCUCUUCCUCCACCCUUUUUUUAAAUUUUUUUUUCAUUUUGUCAUGAUGUUAACUACUUUUGUUUCAUUAUUAUUAUUAUUAUUUGUUAGUUUUAUCUUAUCAUUUUAUUUUCUUUUAAUUUAUUAACUUGCUCAUUUUUCAAUAUUACCAAUUUAUGACAAGUUUUAAAUUCUUUUCUUAUUUUUCCAAAAUAAAAUUUUAAAUUUACACACAAAAAAAUGCUAGGGUUCAAAACUUUUGGAUUAAUUUUUUAUGUUAACUUUUAUAAUAUUUAGUUCAAAUUUUUAUAUUCUUAUUGUUUAAUUAUGAAAUAGUAUGUAAUUUUGCGACAUAGAGUACGGAUGGGAAAAAAAUUGAUAAUUAGGCUUAUUGAACAUUAUAAGUAAAUAUUUAAAACUAAUGAUGGGUGCAAAGAAUGGUAUAAAUUGAUAACUUAGUUUGCAAAAAUGAAUUUACAAAAAGUUAAAAAUAAAUGGGUUAUAAAUGGGUAAUUGGGUUACCCAAUUUAUUUUUUGACUUAUCCAUUUAUAUCCAUCUAAUUAAAUGGGUAUAAAUAAGUUGACUCACUUAUAUCCAUUACCCAUUUUACCCAAUCCAAACGCCCAAAUCAUCCAUUUUGACACCUCUAAUUUAAACCUAUUCAUCAUCAAUUUUGAUUUACAUAUUCUAAUAUGUUGCCACAAAAAAAUCAGGGACAGGGAAAAUUAUUUUAAAAUAUAUAAAAAUAUGUGAAAAGAGAAAGAGAAUAAAUAUACAAUAUAACUGAAAUAAUUUUAUAAACUAAACUCAACAAUAAGACUCACAAACAACAAUUUUAGAAGCUUUCUCUCAUUAUCCACAACUUAACUCUCUCUUCAAGAAAACAAUGAAAUGGUACUACUCAAUUUAUAGAGUAUCCAACGGACUCUAGUCACAAAGGAAUAGGACAAUGGACAAAUAUAUAUAUAUAUAUAUAUAUUGCAAUUCUGAACCGACGACAGUAUUCCUCUCCAAAAUGAUAAAUGUAACUUGCUAAGCUUUAAUGACCAGACACAUCAACUUCUAAAUUCUUCAACUCACUAGACCAAGAAAAAGAAGUUGCCACAUAACUAAUUUAUUCUAAUAAUUAGUCUUGGUUUAAUUAUCUACACAACCAUUGGUCAUCUUUCUUGGGCAAUUACAUAAUCAAUCCAACCUUGCUACUUGUCAGCCUUGAAGGACAGCGCUUGGAAAUUAAUUAACAGCUUAUCAUAUGCGCUACAAAAUGCAGAAGUUUAAUCUAUAGAUUUAUCUGUAGACCUUGUAAUCAAUUGGUGAGUCACAUUGAUUAAGUGAUGUAUGUUUACUUUUUCGUCCCAUUUAUUUAGUCAUGUUUGACAAAUCUAGCUUUUAAAAAUAGUGAUUUGAUUGUGAUGUUUGUACUUUUUUUUCAAUUUUACUCUCACAAAUUUAAAUUUUAAAUUUGAAUGGUAACAUGAAUAUAAUUAAAAAGAAAGGCUAUAUUUAAAAGGGAGAUUAAAAGGUACUUUGAUUUUUUUUACAUGAUAUUUUUGGAAUAUUCUAAAAUGAAAAAUACAGCAAUUUUAAUGAGACGGAAGAAGUAUAUUAUUAGUAUUAGAUUAUAAAAAAAAUUGAUGUGACUAUAGAGUCCAAAAAUAUCUUUCAAACCCAUUCAGGCUAGGUAAGGAUACGCCAAGAACGAAAUACGGGAAGAUAACAGGUGCAUGGUUGGGACUUGGGAGGAUGAGUAGAAAGGAUGUACUCCUGUUUUUAUUUGUCCAUUCUGUAUCGACGUGGAGACUUGGAGCCGCGAGUUUAGAAAUUAGUGACUUUCAUAGCUAAGGACAGGUUAGGUCAGUACAAUAAUUGCCCCAUCCAUUAUUGCGCAUUAAAAGGGACCCAUUUCUCAUUAUCGGACUCGGAUGUUUGCCUUUAAGUUGCUGGGCACUUAUCUUAAAGGAAUAUUCUUUUUACCUUUUACUGCGUUACAUGCCAAACGAUAGCUAUUAUUAUUAGAACUGCAUAGUUUGUGGGGAUAAUUGCAGAAACCUCCCCUGAGGUUUCUGACAUUUUCACUGACCUCCCCUAUGGUUUGAAAAAUUACACUGACCUCCCCUGAGGUUACUAAUCCUUUGCAAAUUUAGUCCAAACGAUUAAAAUAUUAUUAUUUUAGGGAGUGAAAUUAGAAUUUUGUACUAGAUUUGCCCUUUGUACUACAUGUCCAAUGAAUGACAAAGUAUUAUAAAUCAAUUAACAAUUAAUAAACUUUAAGGAGUAUAACUUAUGGGCAAACACGCAUUACUCAUUUAAAGUACCGGCUCUUUACGGGUAUUUUACUUUCAAACAUUUAAUUUAUGAUAAAUAUAUCAAUAUUUAUACGUAAAAUUCAAAAAGUGUUACAGUAAUAUUCUUGCAAAAAGGAAAUUGGUAGGUUAUUGAUUUAAUAUAAAUUAAAUAUUUUUUUUUAAAAAAGAAAUGGCCCAUAAAGUAUUAAUUCUUUAUGACUUUCAUACAUUACAUAAGUAAAGUAUUCGCUCUUUAUGUGCAUUUUAUUCUGAAUCAUUUAAUUUAUGUUAAAUACAUAAAUGUUUGUAACUAAAAUUGAAAAAGUGUUAUAUUAAUAUUUUUACAGAAAAGAGAUUGGUAGGUUUUGUAUUUAACAAAAAUUAAAUAUUUGAAAGUAAAUACAAAUCUGUAUUUGAGCGUAAAUAUUUGUAUUAAAUUAAAUGUUUGAAAGUAAAAUACCCGUAAAGAGCCGGUACUUUAAAUAGUUACCGGCUCUUUAUGGGCAAACACGCAUUAUUUAUUUAAAGUGCCGGCUCUUUACGGAUAUUUUACUUUCAAAUAUUUAAUUUAUAAUAAAUAUAUCAAUGUUUGUAAGUAAAAUUUAAAAAGUGUUACAGUAAUAUUCUUGCAAAAAGGAAAUCAGUAGGUUAUUUAUUUAGUAUAAAUUAAAUAUUUUUUUCAAAAAAAGAAAUGAUUCAUAAAGUAUUAAUUCUUUAUGGCUUUCAUCCAUUACAUGAGUAAAAUAUUGGCUCUUUAUGGGUAUUUUAUUCUGAAUCAUUUAAUUUAUGUUAAAUACAUAAAUAUUUGUAACUAAAAUUGAAAAAGUGUUAUAUUAAUAUUUUUACGGAAGAGAGAUUGGUAGUUUUUGUAUUUAACAAAAAUUAAAUAUUUGAAAGUAAAUACAAAUCUGUAUUUGAGCGUAAAUAUUUGUAUUAAAUUAAAUAUUUUAAAGUAAAAUACCCGUAAAGAGCCGGUACUUUAAAUAGAUAAUGCUUAUUUGCCUAUAAACUAUACUCCUUAAAGUUUAUUAAUUGUUAAUUGAUUUGUAGUAUUUUGUCAUUCAUUGGACAUGUAGUACAAAGGACAAAUUUGGUACAAAAUUUUAAUUUCACUCCUUAAAACAAUAUUUUAAUCGUUUGGACUGAAUUUGCAAAUGAUUAGUAACCUCAGGGGAGGUCAGUGUAAUUUUUCAAACUACAGGGGAGGUCAGUGCAAAUGUCAGAAACCUCAAGGGAGGUUUCUGCAAUUAUCCCUAGUUUGUGUGAAGAGUGAGAGUCAGAGUAUUAUUCGCGCCUUGAGGUGUUGUGUUUCACGUUUCUAUGUUACACGAAUUUUAUGACUCAUCAGAGAGACAUUCUAUCCUGUUCGGAAAAAAAACAAAAAAAAAGAGAGACAUUCUAAAAUUUGGAUUUUUAUUCAUUAUUGCAUCGGAGUCAGAACCUUGUGAUAAGGGGUGCAAUGGUCAACUUCAGUAUAAAUCAUACUCUUAGAUUUAUAUAAUAAAUAUACGAGUAAAUCUUAUAUACACUGACAGUGUAUACACUAUCACCAUUGGAUUUAUGAUAUAUGUGUAAAAGUUGAAUUUUAAAUUCAAAACUUAUAUAUUUGUCAUUUAUUCAUCGUUGAUAAUGUAUACACUGUCAGUAUAGAAAAGAUUAAUCCUAAAUAUACAGUAUGCUUUUGAUUUAAAAAGUGAAAUCUUUUUUUCCCAUUAAUGUUUAAUUUGAAAUAAAUCCUAAAUUUUUUUUAGAGGUAAUCAAUAGAAAGUAUUUUUUGGAGUCAAUGUAGAAUAAGUGAGGAAUAUAUAAAGCUUCAAAAGAUAACCUAUAUAAAGAAGGGAAUUUUCUUAAAUUUGACGGGAGCAAUACAACUGAAAGAGAGAAUUUUAUAAAAUUCAAGGGUGCAACACAUGGUAUAAACUUAAUAAUCUUGAAAAAUUUGAAGGCCAUUGUACAAUUUUAUCAAAAUUGAGGGGGCCGGGGAGGGAGGGAGGGCAAUUGUCCACUCCACAAUCCUAUGUGGCUCUGCCACUGGAAUACUUAUCAAUCGAAUAGAUAGUAUGAUAGACCGCCAGCCUUUGGCCAGUGGCCACCACCUAGCUUGGUGGGGUGGGAGGCAAGGCAAAAUGCCACAUUUAAGUGGUUUGCUUCAAAAAAUUCAGACGGGUGUGUUGUGCACCCGUUUGAUUCGGUGGUGGUUCAGUCCCCUUCGGGUUAUUCUUGGGCCUCCUUAGGUCCGCCCCCUCCCCCUUAGUGUAGAAUAGAUUAGGUUAUACAACAGUUGUCGUUUCCGAAAAAAAAAAAAAAAAUAGAUAGUAUGAUAAGAUUUUAACAGCAAAAAUUGUUAAAAAAAAGGGAUUCUUUGCCGUACUAUUCGACCCAUAAUCCGAGGGGGUAAGGUGGGAUCAACUCCAUGGCACAGAGAGGCAAAGUGCCAUUCAUCGCCUAAUAGAUAAAUCCUUCUCUCAGUUAAAAGCCACAUUGGUUUGCAUCUAUCAAUUUGAAAAAAAAAAAACUAAUUUAAGAGGCAAUAUUUUAAGUUAUUUAAGGAAUAAAAAUGUUGAAAAAGCAUAUUAAUAGAAAACUUGUCAAAAUGGAAACUUACAUGAACUCAACUUUGGUCUACAAUAUUUUUUUUUGUUUUUACAAUUCUUUUCUUAAUAUUCUUUUUAACUUUAGUGCUGUCAAUUUACUUCAUGGCCCAAAGGCAAAAAAAAAAACAAAGACUAGUGAUUGACACACGAACAAUCUUUAAUGCAAAUUUCAAACUCAUUAAGAAAUGAGAGUGUGAAAUUAUCAGAUUGGAUUUCAGUGAAAUGGGGAUUUUAAACAUUCAACGCGAAGCAUCUAAGCUGGAUCGCGGGCUGGAUGACAUUGAAAUUGUGGUGAAGAUAAGUUUUCAAAGUCUCUUUCAUUUCAGCAUACUUUAUGAAUAAACUUUUUUCUUGAGCACUUUAUGAAAAGAAUAUUUUACUCAGUUUACUCACUAACUAAUGAUUACACAAGCACUCAACUUCCGCACAUUUGCACGGGCUUAAUCUUGUAUUAUUAUUAUUUUUUUUAUAAUAAUAAUAAUAAUAUUAUUAUUUACUUCUUCCCGAAUGUGCUAAUGAGCUGGUUUAAACCUAAAUGGUAAGGUGAAAUCUGAGGUGAUAGAUUUAAAAAUUUUCAAAUUUGGCAAUCAAAUUUGAAAAACGAAAAAAAAGAUCUAACACAAGAAAUAGAAAACUACAAAAAGUCUCACUAGAAAUCCCGCAAAAUCACCAUCGUCAUCUUUACAGCAGCCAUCGUCAACCAUUCGAUCUUCAAAUUUACUGUCUUUGGAACAAAUUUUUUUCAUUAGAUUUCAUCAUAGAGCCCAAUCUUGCAGUUCACUGUGCCAGCACUGAAGUAAGCCCUCUUUUCCAAAUUUUUUUUUUGUAACUUGAAAUUUGUGUGAAUUAAUAUGCGCAUCCUAUGGAUGUUUGGAUCUUUCAUUUUAUUAGUCUCCUUGAAUUUGUUGUCCCUUUGGUCAUUCGUAUGCAAUUUUUUAAUCACAUAUUCUGUUUACCUGAGGAAGUCUGAAUUGUGAUGAAUUUUGUAUUGAUUCAACAUCAAAUUUGAUUAAAGGAAAAAGGAAACUGGCCUACGAUCAUAGCAUGUAAGCAUGAUGGAAAAAUGCCUAAACAAAAUACAUUGUUGUUCACUGUUUUGUUUUCUUUGGUGUAAUUGGAUAUUGAAAGGGUUGAAGAAAGGGGAAGGAAAAUUUAGGAUUGAAUUGGGGUGUUUGCACUUGCAAUUGAUCUGUAGGUGCUUUUGUUUUCUUACAGUUGAUCAUGACGGAUUAAUUUUUUUUUUGGUAUUAACCACAGGUGUCCGCAUCCGUUUUACGGUCUACGACUAAUUCUGUUCUAGUCACGUUGGACCCUUUGUAGGGGGAAUCUCUCCCAACGUUGUUUUUUCCAUCCUCAUAGAUUUCGAACCCGAGACCUCAUGGUUAAGGGAUGCAAGCCCCUUCCACUUACACCAACAUUCGUUGGUGACGGAUUAUUACUGACGAGUUCCAUGGGAAUUAUCUUCAGUUACAAAUAGAAAUAAACGGGAAGUGCUUCAUAGGAUGGUAUCUUGAGACAGUGAUUGGGAAAUCAGUAACCAUCGCAAGUGGAUUGUCAAAAUUAAAGAUGUAAAAGACAUAUACGACUGCAGCUGGAUUGUGAUGGCUAAUCUUAUCCUAUGUAGUGAAACUUCUUGAUCUCGCGAAACAUGUACAAUCAUAUGUACAACCAGUUAAUUUAUUUGGGUCCUUGCAAGUAAAUUUUCACUUCAGAUUUAUUGUAGUGAUUGUAACAUAUAUUUUGUGGCUUUGGAACAGAUUUAACUUACCCAAAAAAAAAAAAAAAUUAAAUCUCCACUGCAAAGCCUUAGAGUAAUUUUGAAGUUCAGUCUAUUGAACACUGCCUAUCCUUUGCUUUCCUAUUGUACUCCUUUUGAGUGAUUUAUUUAGAGCUUCUAUUUGGAAAUGUUCAAACCUGACAAUAAGCUCUCAGUGUUAUUUCCAUGAAAACUGCAAAGAGAAGUUGAUCAUGCAAAAAACUACUGUAGCUGACAAGAUUGGCGUUAUUUGGAUUGUCGGUUUUCACUUAAAAAUUUUGAAAUAUUUUUUCAAUAUAUUUUUCAAUCACUUUUUUAUCUCACAUAUAUCAUAUUAUUAUAAUAUAUAUAUUUUUUAACGAAACUCUAUAAACUUACAAUUCAAACUGUAACUUUUCAUUGUAGUGCGUCCUUCAAAGUGACUUUCGUUUUAGUCCGUCCAUUUUAAGUGAUUUUAGUGCGUCCACCUCAAUUCAUGCACAGGAAGGACUGGUCCCAGAAUUCUGUAGCAGGACAAUGAUUUAGGGUGGCCUGGAAAAUUCUAUGGAAACAAGGCAAGAAUGUCACCUUUGGGGUGUCCAAUAAUAAUGUUAGUGUCAAUCAACCUCACUAUUAAAAGAAGAAAAGAUUGUUGAUAAAUCCAUACAUCAAAUCCGUAUUCAAUAUCUUUACUCGAAAGUUGUGCUCCCAAGAAAGUACGAGUAAACUCUUAUUCAUCAAUUUGCAUAAACAAUAGGGUUAAUCACAUUUUAUCCCCUUAAAGAAUGCCCAAAUUUUCAAUUUACCCCCUAACCUUUAAUUUUGCUCACUUAACUCCCUUUAGGACAAAAUUGCCCUUGUAUUAUUUUGACUUUUCAUUUACCUUAUUUUCCUUUCUUUUAUUUCUUUCUCUCUUUCUUCUUUAUUUAAUUCUUCUUCUUUCCCACAAAAAUCUUCACCUUAAUGAUUGAAAUUAAAAAAGAGGAAUUGCAGAUAUCUAUCUUCUCCUUAAAUGAUUAAAAAAAUAUUCAAAUCACUUUCCUAAAAUAUAAUUUUUUUAGCCUUUCAAUUCUUUUACUUUUGGGUUUUCCUCUUUCCUUUCUAGUUUCUCAUUUUAUUCCCAAGAAAAUAUCUUAAGAUGAAAUUGUGAUCUGAUUAAUAAACAUGAAUGAAGGGAGAAGGUUGAUUGAGGCCCUAUUCAUCCUCAAAUUUGAUUACAUAUUCCAAUCUAUUGCCACAAAAAAAAAAAAAUCAUGCUCAGCAAAAAUUAUUUUAAAAUAUAGGAAUAUAUGUGAAAUAUAACUUAAUCGUUUUAUUAACUAAACUCAACAAUAAUGCUUACAAAUAACAAGUUUAGAAGUUUUCUCUCAAUGUCCACAACUUACCUCUCUCUUCAAGAAAACAAUGAAACGGUAUAGAGUAUCCAACCGACUCUAGUCUCAAAGGAAUAGGAAACUAACAAUUGGCAGAAAAAUUUUUAAUUCUGAACCGACUAGGAGUAUCUCUCUCCCAACAUGAUAAAUGUAAAUAACUUGCUGAACUUUAAUAACCGGGACCUUAGGAAAUAUUUCUUUUCCACAUCAACUUCUAAAUUCUUCCACUCACUAAACCAACAAAUAAAAAAACUUGCCACAUAAGUAAUUUAAUUUAAUAAUUAGGCUUGGUUUAAUUAUCUACACAACCAUUUGUCGGAUUUCUUGGGCAAUUACGUAAUCAAUCCAACCUUGCUAACUGUCAGCGUAGAAGGACCUUAGAAAUUAAAUAACAGCUUAUCAUGCACUGCAUAAAAUAGGUUUAUCUGUAGAGCUCGAGCUCGUAAUCAAUUUGUGAGUCACACUGAUCAAUUUGUGGGUCUUAAAGGUUAGAAGUUAAGAGGUUAUUCUGGCGAGAUUUGGAUUUGGGAAUUUUUUUAAUUUGUUUUCUUGCCUCCCAAAGAUCUUAUUCUCCUUCAUUUCUUUGUUUGUUAUUACUUUUUUUUUUAAUGAGUUUUAAGAAGUUAUGGUGAUAGUGGGGGAUGAUGAUAGUGGUGAUGGGAUGAUCAAGAGGUUGGUGUUGAUAGUGUGAGAUUUGGGUAUGGAUUAUGACUUGAUUUCUAUUUCUGUUUGAUGAAUUUUUAGAUAUUAAUUUAUGCUUUUUGAAAGGGAUUUUUGUUUGAGGAAUAUUUGUAGGGUUUAGAAAUUUGACUAUAUUCAGAAGAUGAAAAUAAAGGAAGGGUAUUUUUGGAGGUUUGGUAAAAUUUUGAGGGUUAACAAGUAUAAUCACUCUCUCUUUUUUUAUCAGAUUUAAUUUAAUUUGUAAAUUGUGCAAAAAAUUAGAAGUUGAAGGUAAUGGACUGCUAAAUUUAAAGUUUGGAAUGCAAGUUCCAAUUGCGAAAUUGUUGAGGGGUGCAACUUACAAUUAACCCUAUUUCUAUUUUAUUUUAUAUUAUACAACUUGUUAAAGGGACAACUGUAGUAUUAAGAGAAAUAUUUUAAAGGGAUAAUUUCAUAAACCUCCCCUGAGGUUUUUGAUAAUUUUAUGUGGCUCCCUUAAGGUUUCAAAAUUUACAUCUACCCCCUUACCCAUUUAAAAUGACAAUACUAACCUUAAUAUUUUAAUAAAACUCUCUUGCUUCCAUGUUUAUAAAAAGGAUGGAUUUUAUAAUUUUUAUAAUUUAUGAAAAGAGGUAAAACGGGAUGAACCCCAUGGUUCAGGGGAACAAAGUGCCAUUCAUCCGCUAAUAGAUAAAUCCUUCUCUUUCUUCCUUAAAAGCCAUGUUGAUUCAGUGACAGGGCGUCAACUAAUUAAAAAUAAAUAACUACUCCAGAAAAUACGAACUUGUUUGCAGCAAUGAGUAGGAUUGUCUCCACAAGAUAGAGUUGAUUUAUUUUCUUCCAAAGCAAUGAAUAAAAAGGGGGAUUUUGGAGAAUUAAACUAACUAAUUAACUUAAACACAAAUAAACAUGCAAAGAAAAUUAACUAAGAAUAAACCAAUAAUAAUAGAGUUCUAGCCAAAGGAAUAAUCUUAGGAUUGGUUCCUAUAAUUGAUCACUAAAGCAAAGAUGAAUUCAAAUAUUAGUGAACAAAUAGGUUAUAAUUAUCAUUAAACUUUGGCAAUCAAUCUUUCCUUACUUUAUCGAUAAUCAGAGUAUGGCCACUAACUACUUCUCUAACUAAAAGAUAAUCCUAGGUACAACCAUAGAAUUAAAUCUUUUAUCAGCAUCAAGAAUUAAAAAAGCCUAAUUCGAAUCAACAAACAUGUUGCGAGAGUUCAUUUAAAUUAUAUCAUAUAUUUUCCUGAUAUAGAUCCAAUUAUGCUAGUCAACACAAAUAUUAAAACAGACAAACAAUUACGAAUUUAAUUGUUUCAAUUGGCAGCAGACUAUUGUAAAUAAUUAAAUAUUGGCCACUUAUUUAAUUACACACAAUAAUCAUCAUACAUGUAAUACAGGAAGUAUAAAAAUACCCACGAAUAGAUGAAACAGUAAACUUAAAUUAGAUAUCAUAAUUGUUUGUAGAACCAAGGCUUCGAUUAUCCUCUAACUAGAAAGAAAAUUUAGCCACUUCUUAUGGAGAAAAUGCAGCGGAGAAAACUAGGUUUUUGUCUUGAGAGAAGAAAAAAGAAAACCACCUAACUACGAUGACAAAGUGUAGAGAGAGUUUGGGAAUUAAAUAUCGAUAUUCUCGCCCUAACAAUCUAUAUGAUAAUCUCCUAAAAAUUAUUCCAAUAAAAGGAAUUAUCUUCCAUACUGGAAUAAUCUAUUUUCGUAGAUAAUGAUAUAAUAAUAUCCUUACUAACUAGUUGCCAUCCAAAAAUAAAAAGUUUUCAAGGCUGCAGAGAAAUCAAUCAAUUAUUCUCUUUAAUUGUUGAAAUUAAUCUCAGGUCCCACAACUUCUGAAUUUCCUAGGCUCUUUAAGACGCGCCCAUACUUUAUAGCAAAUAGACUUUUCAGCAACUCUUUUUAGUCCUCUUUCAUCCCAAAUUCUUAUGACAUCACUAAAACACAAAAUAUAAGUAAAAUCCACAAAAUAACACAAUAAUCUACUAAAAUGAAAGGAGAAUCGACACAAACUAUAUCUCGAUUAGGCACACAAUCAUUUAGUGACACAUGAUGAUGUAAGUAAUAUUACAUUAUUAUGAUGAUAUAUGUGGCUCUUGAGUAUGCACCACAUCGUCCAUGAGUGGUUCCGAAAAUCAAGUUUUUAAGAAGGUUUUAAAGCUGGAAAUCUUACUGGGUCAUAGGUUAUUGGUUCAAUCGUUAGAUUAAAUGUUACCAAGUCAUUGUUACUCUGUGACACCAUAUAUAUCAUAAAUAAUUAAUGUGAAAAAUCAUUCAAUACGUCCCUUAUAUUUUAUUAAAUGGUUUUUUUGUUUCUUCACUUUUAAAAUGUUAGUUUUACAUCUAUUACAAAUUCAAGUUAGUAAAAUUUGGUCCCAAUCUAAAUUUUUGACUACUUUUUAGCCUAAGAUCGCCAUGUGACCUAUAUGCAAUUAUUUUUUAUGUAAAAAAAAAUGUCAAAUACCACUUUUGUAGUGAUAAAAAUAAAUAUGGAUCGGGUCAAAUUCCAUUUUUGUUUUAAAAAAUGAAUAUGGAUCGAAUAAUUUAUUUAACUACAAAUGGGAUGUAACAUUGUUUAAUUCUAACAAUUGUUAAGUGGAUAGGAACACGAAUAGUAAUAAAUUUUGGAUUUUGUAAACAAUUUAGAGCUAAAUUAUAAUUUUUUAAAGGUGAAAUGAUAGAAACUUAAAUAUGAGGUAACAUUGAAAUCUAAAAGUAAGUAUGAGGGCUAAAUAGUAAAAUGUCAAAAAGUAUAGUGCGUUAAUCGUUUCCGAUAAUUAUAUGCUAAUGCUGGGCCGCAUUUUUUUUUUUAUUUUAAAGAAAAGCAAGACUCAAAACGGUUUAGUAAAAACAUGUCAACGGUUCGUUGGUCCGGCCAAACGAUCUAGUUGGUUUUUACUAUCUAGACCGAUUUUUUGAUCCAUCUUUAGUUUGAGACUUGACUUAGUUCAGAAAGCUACUCGAUCAACAGUUGAAUCAGCUCACUCGAACAGUCAAAACUGAGUUUUAUACUAUUAGUUUUUAUUUAAAUAUUUUCAAUACCCAUUUAUAAGAUUAUGGCACUUGUAAGUUCUCCAUGAACCGAAAAUAAAAAGAUAUUUGUGUUAUAGUUGAAAUGAUGAGUGAAGAAAUUUACUGAUGCUGUCAAUAAUGUAUCGACGGGAUACUUGAGCAACGAAUAAUACUUUUCUUUGGGUAAACAAUCAACUAUUAUUGAUAAAGCACAUAUUACACAUAUCUGUAAAAGGAUGGGUAGUAUUUGGCACGUCUUCAAUUCGCCACACAGGUAGCUGAACUCAUCUAUAAAAGGGGUCGAUCUGUGGGCAACCAAAUACACACCAAACCAAAAAAUACACACGAAAGCAAGCCUGCAAAAACAACCGAGAGGAGAAAAAAUGGCUCCCUGUUUUAGAGCACUAGUCAUAGCAAUAACAUCGCUGUUGAUGAUAUCUUCAGUGAUCAGGUCUUCCGAUGCUGCUGGAAUUGCCACCUACUGGGGCCAAAACACUGACGAAGGAAGCCUGGAAGACGCAUGCCGGAGAGGUACCUAUGACUACGUGAAUCUUGCCUUUCUGAUAAAUUAUGGCAAUGGCCAGACACCAGAAUUGAACUUAGCUGGGCAUUGUGAGCGAAGCGCUUGCUCCUCGCUUAGUUCUGAGAUAAAAGCUUGCCAGAAACGAGGCAUCCAAGUGCUUCUUUCUCUCGGUGGAGCUCCAAACCUUUCUUCACGCGAUGAUGCUAAGGAAGUCGCGUCCUAUCUCUAUAAUAAUUUCCUUGGCGGUGAAUCACAAAAUCGUCCAUUAGGCGAUGCUGUCUUAGACGGUAUAGACUUUCAUAUCCAAGGUGGAAGUAGGGAUUUCUUGGAUGAUCUCGCCAAGGCGCUCUCAGAAUAUAGAACAACAGAGAGAAGGGUGCACUUAUCUGCAGCACCACAAUGUUUCUAUCCUGACUAUUAUCUUGACGCUGCCAUCAGAACUGGCCUCUUUGAUUAUGUGUGGGUGCAAUUUUACAACAAUCCGCCUUGUCAGUAUAGUAUGGGCAAUGCCAACAACCUCAUCAACAGUUGGAGCUCUCAUUGGGCUUCACAUCCAGGAGUUAACAAACUAUUCCUGGGAUUACCUGCAUCCCCUGAAGCCGCUCCUUCUGGCGGUUACAUUCCACAUCGGAUUCUUAUUCGUGAAGUUCUUCCCCAAAUCCAGGACUAUCCCAACUAUGGAGGCGUCAUGCUUUGGAACGUAUACUAUGACGAGAAUUAUAGUCAGGCAAUCAGGCCUUAUGUUAACCCUGAAACUCUGACUUUUGAUCGCAGGUCCACGAUUAAGUACCCAAGAAAGUCCAUGAUAAAGUCUUUUGUGGAUGAGUAAGUUCCUCUCAUUAUCUUAUGAGAGAUGAAAUAAGUAUAAUAUAAUCCCGGUGGUUUGAGCCAGAGAUAAUGUUAAUAAAUAAGUUCCUCUCAUUAUCCUGUGAGAGAUGAAAUGUAAUCCGGGUUGCUUUUGCAAGAGAUAAAUUGAAUAAAUAAAUAAAACAUGGGUUUUCAAUCCCCAAACUAAGGGCAGUCGCGUUUGAUUUUUUUUAAUUCGUGUUUGUUCUUGAGUAAAAACUAUCACGAACAGUAUCAUUAGUUUUAAUUUCCCCUUACUCUUCAGAAAAAAAAGGGUAUUGAAAAAAAAAAAACAUGCAAAAGGUACUAGAUCAAAAUCUCUCACUCGCUAGACAAAGAAUUUCAAGAUAACAGCCCUUGAUCCAAUCCGCAUUCCAAUGCAAGUUCCUGGUUUUACUUAGUAUGAGGAACCUUGGGCCAUGCGAGAUCAAAUAAAAAAAUAAUAUCAUCAGAUAUUUAUUCUCCAAAAUCAAUAUAUUUAUUCAAGAGCAUUUUACAUUUCAGUACACCUUUACUGUUGAGAAUAUUACUGUUCUGUUAGCUUCUAUGCAAAGUUUGUUUCAUAUGCAAUAACGUACUUAGUAACUAAACUUCCAUCACUUGCAGAUAUUAAUCCAGGAAAAAGAUGAAUAAUUGUUUUCUUUUAUAUGGAUUAAUCUUCUAUACAUUGACAGUGUAUACACUUUCAUCAUUAGAUGCAUGACACAUAAUCCGAAUUUGAAUUUGAAACUCAAAUAUUGUAUAUAUGUCGUAUAUUCAACUGUGAUGGCGUAUAUACCGUCAAUGUAUAUAAGAUUUAUUUUUUAUAUAUAUAUACACAUAUAAGGAAAGCAAUGACGUUCAAAACUUAAGAUCGAUGUACAAUUCAGUUUUGCUUAAAUUCUUAGCUCGAGGCCUGUUCAAAUCUUGUAAAAAGGUACUGGUAAUAAAUGAAAAUCUAAAGUUUGCUCUAAGGUAGGUAAUAUUAUAGCAAUUGGUCCUCUUCUUAAUUUAGUUCUUCCAGUAAAUUUGAUAUAUCGUUUACGAUCAUCCAGCAUUAUGGAUAUUGCUUUCUCUUUGUGAAAAUUUUUAGUUUUGAGCAAAGUCUUUGGUUUUUAGUCAAGUUCUUGCGUUGGACAGCUCUACAUCUUGGAACUGGUGAUUCGUACAAAUAUACAGUAUCUUGGAAAUAUUAGACUUUUUUUUUUAAAAAAAAAAACCUUAUUUUAUUAAUGAAGCAAAAAGGAAUACAUGAAUGCGUGUUCAGGCUGCACCACUCGACCUACAGCUAGGCCUAGAGCUGUUAAACGAACCGAGUUGUUCGGUAGCUCGGUUCGUUUCGACUCGUUCGAAACCUUAAAUGAACCGAGUUCGAACGAAUGUUUUUGUUCGAUUAAUAAUCGAGCGAACACGAGCAUGUUCGCGAGUUUUAACGAACGUUCGCGAACAUGCUAAACGAACGUUCGCGAACACGAGCAUGUUCGCGAGUUUUAACGAACGUUCGCGAACAUGGACAUAAUUAUCAUUUGAUAAAUUUUAGGGUUAAUUUUAUGGCUGGACUUUUAUGUUUGGAGGGCAAAUUACUUUGUUUUAUUUGUUAUUUUUAUGUUAAUGUUAGUUAUAUAGUUAAUGAAUAAUAGAAUUUAGUCACUUAGUGCUUUAAUUGUUUUUGAGAAUAGUUAAUAAUUUGCAUGACAUAUUUAAGGCUUAAAAUAAUUUGGAUUCGAGCAUUUCGAGUAUGUUCGCGAACGGCUCAUUUAUGUUAAAUGAGUCGAACACGAACUCGAAUUCGAACACGAAUUUUGCUUAACGAGCCGAACACGAACACAUGUUUGAAGUUCGAAAAUUAACGAACGAACACGAACGUUGUUCGAACUGCUUAACGAACAGAGCUCAAACAUGAGAUACUCGGUUCGAUUCGGUUCGUUUACAGCUCUAGCUAGGCCCCAAGGACCUCUUAGAAAAUCGAAAACUCCCAAUCCCCAGUCUAUCGACCUGACAUAGGCCCCUCACCGACCUUGGCAAGGACGUGAAGGAGAGCAAGAGACAAAAGUUGCUGGAGCGGCUACCCAGCGAUGCCAACGAAUCCGCCACAGCAUUACCUUCUCGAUGGAUAUGUUGAAAGGACGAUAUAGCUGGCGAGAGUUGCCGAAGAUGACGGAGGAUUGGCAAUAGCGAAACCGGAACGCCCCAUACCCCUGUAGAACGUCGAUCAGGAUCUUUGAGUCGCCCUCCACCACGACUGGGCCAUGGCGGAAUAGGUUACACAAUUCAAGCCCCGUGCACAGUGUGAGGCCCCGAAAAAAAUGAGUUUGAGAACCCGGAAAUUUUAAUUUUCUAGGGUUUAUUUUGUUUAAAACAAAACCCGCAUUUUCUACAUUUUCUUGAUUAGAAAAAAUCCCAGAUAAAGUUUAUGAGCAAAAAUAGUUUUAAAAUGAUUUUUCUAGUAUCGGUUAGUUUUUGAGAAAUUAAAAGCGUAUUUUGGACGUGGGACCCACUAGUGCGAAAAGUUCGGAAAAUUCGGCCAAUUAGGUUAAAUUCCGGAUACUGUGUAAAAUUUAUCGGGUGUUAAGAGAUAAGUAGAGUGUGUGAAAUGAUUGAUGAGAGAGAGAAAAGAAAGGAUAGGAAUGCAUUUAUUGUAGUGCCACAUGUCACCAUGAUAUUGGUUAGGACUUAAGACUACUAUUCAUGGUUUUGACCUUUUGACUUAUGGAUUAAAUAUCUUCAAAAUUCACAAAAAAAUUACCAUUUUUCACCCCUUGAUGGCCGGCCCUCUCUAGCAAGAAGAAAGACAAAACUCUUCAACAUCUUGGCAAAUUCCUAGCUCAAAUCAUCCAAACUACUUACCUAAAUUAGUUUUUACUCCAUAAAAUCCUUCCACUUGGUAUUAGUGAGUGUUUUGGUGAAGCUUUUGGAGAACUUAAGGUGUCCAACAUCUUCCUCUCUCUUGUUUACUUGGUAAGUAGUGAUUGACUAUCCUCUUACACCUAAUGAUGUUGAAUUUAUGCCUAAUGGUGGCUAUUGUGUUAGAAAUUGUGGUUUAUUUCUUGGUUUGAAGUGAUUUGGUUAAGUUUUUAUUUUUUUGAGGAAUUUUCUGGUUUUAUGUGAUCUUGAUGGUGUGGUUGUUUUUGAUGGUUGGUAAUAAGGGGCUAUGGAUCUAGUAGGUGCAUAUGAUAGGAAAUUGCAACUAAUUUUGGGUUUGGAUUGAAUUGUGGAAAGUUAGGGUUUUAUCACCCCUAAUUCUGUCCGGUUUUAGAUCAUAGGGUUAGAGGCCGAAUUGGACUUUGCUCAAAACAUGAAACUUGUAGGUAUUGAUGAGUUUGAAGUGCCUGCAAAAUUUCAGGGCAUUUGGAGUAGUGUAGAGUGAGUUAUGCCGUUUUUACUGUUGCUGUUCUGGGUGAUCAGAAUGUGCGAACUGUGAUUGUAAUCGUCUGUUUUGACUGGAAUUGCUUUGGAUUUGGAUGUUGGUGUCUUCUGAUGAAAUGUAGCUUGAUGCCUUAGCUAUCAUAUGCCUUUGGAAUCAAUGCAUUUGGACCUGUGUAACUGAGUUGGACGAAUUACAGCAUUGUGUGAUUUGGGAACCUGCAAUUACGAUUCUGGUUUGGUAUUCUGCAUUUUUGACCUAGUUGUGCUAGGAUUUGGACUGAGUGACCUUCUACAUUGUUGUAGCCCUGGUUCUUAGCUUCGAAACGGUGGGUCUUGGACCUCCAUCCGAUACUCGUAAUACCUUUGGUGCCAUUACCGCAAAAGGACGUCAAAACUGUUUUCUGGUUUUGAGCAAUUGUGGUUAAUUGCUUUGUGAUUGGGUUUGAUUGUAGGAUGGAAAGGAUGAAUUUAUGGGGAAAUGCUGUCCGAUUUUUAAUAGCGUUGGUUACCUUAAGUUUCAUGUGAAAGGCUUGGACUUGAAUGAUGGAAUUGGCUAUAUUGGACGAGGAUUGUGAGCCGUGGAGGUGAGUGACCUUAAACUACUUGCAACGUUACUUUAAAAUGUUUCUUGCAUCGUUUCUUUGAUUGCAUAUCCUGUGUGCCGGCAUAUAAGUUCUUGACAUGUUUUGGCUCAAAUGAGUACUUGGAAUUCGUGUGCUAGACUCCGACGUCUCCUCCACCGUUUAAUGUUCCUGUAGGGCACCAAUGGGCUCAAUGUUCAAUGUUAAUGUUCAAUGUUAAAUGAUUGUUUGGAGCGUUGGACGUCUAAGUACCAUGAUUUCACUGGCUCAUGAGAGAAGUGAAAGUGCAUUGAUUGUUGAAGCAUGACAUUAUUGAAAUGAACGAUUGUGAAACUGAUUUGAUAACUGAAUUUCUUGGUUACUCGCUGAGCUUCUAGCUCACCCCAAAAUGUUUUAUUCCCCUCCACAGGGCUCAAGGCGAAGGAGUGGCUUGUAGUGUUUAUCAUGGAUUAUCUCAUGUAUGGACUGAAUUUGGAUUUCCUUUUGUGUAAUCGUUCAUAUUGGGAUUGUAUUGAACGUUUAGAAUUGCUUGGAUGUGUAAUAUGCUAGUUUUGGACUUCCUCCUGUAUCAUAAUUGGGAUCAUGGAUCAGAGUGGCGCAGUGGAAGCGUGGACGCUUCGCUUUUGAUAUGUAAAGUUUGGGAACCUUUGAUGUAUAUUUGAUAUAUAUAUCUUGAAAUUCCAUUGAGAAUUGUAGUGAACGACUGAGUCCUGGCGAGAGCUGGGCAGGCGGCCCGCCGAACCCUCUGGUUCGCCUUAGGGGGAGGUGGGGCCGUUACAGUUGGUAUCACAGCUUAGGCUUCAGAUCUCUAUAGUGUAUCCUAGGCUUGAAGUUUAGGAUGCCGGACUGUGGGUUUGGUUUGAAGUAUUAGUGAUUCUUGCGGGAUGUCUUGACUUGAUUAGUACAAGAGGGAAUGACGAGGACGACAUUCUUUUAAGGAGGGGAGAUUGUGACGCCCCGAAAAAAAAUGAGUUUGAGAACCCGGAAAUUUUCUAAUUUUCUAGGGUUUAUUUUGUUUAAAACAAAACCCGCCUUUUCUACAUUUUCUUGAUUAGAAAAAAUCCCAGAUAAAGUUUAUGAGCAAAAAUAGUUUUAAAAUAAUUUUUCUAGUAUCGGUUAGUUUUUGAGAAAUUAAAAGCGUAUUUUGGACGUGGGACCCACUAGUGCGAAAAGUUCAGAAAAUUCGGCCAAUUAGGUUAAAUUCCGGAUACUAUGUAAAAUUUAUCGGGUGUUAAGAGAUAAGUAGAGUGUGUGAAAUGAUUGAUGAGAGAGAGAAAAGAAAGGAUAGGAAUGCAUUUAUUGUAGUGCCACAUGUCACCAUGAUAUUGGUUAGGACUUAAGACUACUAUUCAUGGUUUUGACCUUUUGACUUAUGGAUUAAAUGUCUUCAAAAUUCACAAAAAAUUACCAUUUUUCACCCCUUGAUGGCCGGCCCUCUCUAGCAAGAAGAAAGACAAAACUCUUCAACAUCUUGGCAAAUUCCUAGCUCAAAUCAUCCAAACUACUUACCUAAAUUAGUUUUUACUCCAUAAAAUCCUUCCACUUGGUGUUAGUGAGUGUUUUGGUGAAGCUUUUGGAGAACUUAAGGUGUCCAACAUCUUCCUCUCUCUUGUUUACUUGGUAAGUAGUGAUUGACUAUCCUCUUACACCUAAUGAUGUUGAAUUUAUGCCUAAUGGUGGCUAUUGUGUUAGAAAUUGUGGUUUAUUUCUUGGUUUGAAGUGAUUUGGUUAAGUUUUUAUUUUUUUGAGGAAUUUUCUGGUUUUAUGUGAUCUUGAUGGUGUGGUUGUUUUUGAUGGUUGGUAAUAAGGGGCUAUGGAUCUAGUAGGUGCAUAUGAUAGGAAAUUGCAACUAAUUUUGGGUUUGGAUUGAAUUGUGGAAAGUUAGGGUUUUAUCACCCCUAAUUCUGUCCGGUUUUAGAUCAUAGGGUUAGAGGCCGAAUUGGACUUUGUUCAAAACAUGAAACUUGUAGGUAUUGAUGAGUUUGAAGUGCCUGCAAAAUUUCAGGGCAUUUGGAGUAGUGUAGAGUGAGUUAUGCCGUUUUUACUGUUGCUGUUCUGGGUGAUCAGAAUGUGCGAACUGUGAUUGUAAUCGUCUGUUUUGACUGGAAUUGCUUUGGAUUUGGAUGUUGGUGUCUUCUGAUGAAAUGUAGCUUGAUGCCUUAGCUAUCAUAUGCCUUUGGAAUCAAUGCAUUUGGACCUGUGUAGACUGAGUUGGACGAAUUACAGCAUUGUGUGAUUUGGGAACCUGCAAUUACGAUUCUGGUUUGGUAUUCUGCAUUUUUGACCUAGUUGUGCUAGGAUUUGGACUGAGUGACCUUCUACAUUGUUGUAGCCCUGGUUCUUAGCUUCGAAACGGUGGGUCUUGGACCUCCAUCCGAUACUCGUAAUACCUUUGGUGCCAUUACCGCAAAAGGACGUCAAAACUGUUUUCUGGUUUUGAGCAAUUGUGGUUAAUUGCUUUGUGAUUGGGUUUGAUUGUAGGAUGGAAAGGAUGAAUUUAUGGGGAAAUGCUGUCCGAUUUUUAAUAGCGUUGGUUACCUUAAGUUUCAUGUGAAAGGCUUGGACUUGAAUGAUGGAAUUGGCUAUAUUGGACGAGGAUUGUGAGCCGUGGAGGUGAGUGACCUUAAACUACUUGCAACGUUACUUUAAAAUGUUUCUUGCAUCGUUUCUUUGAUUGCAUAUCCUGUGUGCCGGCAUAUAAGUUCUUGACAUGUUUUGGCUCAAAUGAGUACUUGGAAUUCGUGUGCUAGACUCCGACGUCUCCUCCACCGUUUAAUGUUCCUGUAGGGCACCAAUGGGCUCAAUGUUCAAUGUUAAUGUUCAAUGUUAAAUGAUUGUUUGGAGCGUUGGACGUCUAAGUACCAUGAUUUCACUGGCUCAUGAGAGAAGUGAAAGUGCAUUGAUUGUUGAAGCAUGACAUUAUUGAAAUGAACGAUUGUGAAACUGAUUUGAUAACUGAAUUUCUUGGUUACUCGCUGAGCUUCUAGCUCACCCCAAAAUGUUUUAUUCCCCUCCACAGGGCUCAAGGCGAAGGAGUGGCUUGUAGUGUUUAUCAUGGAUUAUCUCAUGUAUGGACUGAAUUUGGAUUUCCUUUUGUGUAAUCGUUCAUAUUGGGAUUGUAUUGAACGUUUAGAAUUGCUUGGAUGUGUAAUAGGCUAGUUUUGGACUUCCUCCUGUAUCAUAAUUGGGAUCAUGGAUCAGAGUGGCGCAGUGGAAGCGUGGACGCUUCGCUUUUGAUAUGUAAAGUUUGGGAACCUUUGAUGUAUAUUUGAUAUAUAUAUCUUGAAAUUCCAUUGAGGAUUGUAGUGAACGACUGAGUCCUGGCGAGAGCUGGGCAGGCGGCCCGCCGAACCCUCUGGUUCGCCUUAGGGGGAGGUGGGGCCGUUACACACAGUGCCCUAGCCUCAGCUUGCAAUGACGUCACAUUUCUAUACAGCUCCGAAUAUGCAAAAAUCACCCGACCCUUAGAAUCCCUCGGUACUCCCCCUCCUCCGCCUGUGAAUGGGUGAUGACAGACCCAUCAAAAUUGAGCUUCACCACCGCUGCCGUUGGGUGGACCCACCGCACAUACCGCACAUACCGCACCUGGACAGGGAGACGGACUUCACCAAGGCGUCGGAUCACCGCCUGCCAGCUACACCCCCGCACCUGACAUCGAAGGAAUGGAAACUGAGAUCCAAGUAAGUCCCUAAAGUCACCCAAUAUUCUAUUCGAGAUGAUCUCCGCUGAAAGGACCUGUCCAUCGUAAACAAACCCACAUCGCGCCUUCCACAAAUGCCAUAAAAUAAUUGCUGGCCCAACGUGCAAUACCCAUCGCAAGAUCCAAUGAUGCGACUGUGCAAACCACCAGGACAUACACCGAUCACGGAUCGAUCUGCCGAGAGAAGAGACUCCAAAUGGCGAUCCAAAGAAACCCCAGAUUGCCGUGGGAAUGUCCCCCAUGGAAAAAAUAUGUUGCAUGGUCUCAAGUUGCGGCUCGCUACAACAGAAUUAUAUCUUGGAAAUAUUAGACAUAAAGAGCAGGAUCUUUAGCAUGAUUUGUAAACUAUAAUUAAGAGAUAAAUUCUAAAUUGGCAUACCUUGUGACAUUGAAGACAUUUUGGAGAAGAAUUCUACAGCUCUGUAUCACCAAGCCUUUCAAUCUCCAAGGUUGUAAUGAUACGAACUCGACCCAACAAGAACCUGUCUUGAAGAACCAAAUUGAUCAGGCAGCGGAAGGAUCUAUCUUGAUUAGGUUAUGGAACAAUAACUACCUUGCUAGAUUUAAAGAGAACUCGUCUCUAGAAACCUAGUGGAUUAGUUAUUGACUUGAAAAAAACAAGAUGAUGUGAUCAUCUUGUCUUGAACACCACAAGUAUCCAAGCUAAUACUUGAUACAGUUCAAGAAGAAACUCAAGUUCCAUCAAGGAACUCCAUAAAAGGAGACAACUCUCUUUUUAUUAAUUCAUCUUCAACAUCAUAUUUUUUGAAUAGUUAAAUUAAGUUGGCUAUUUAUAACCUUACAAGACUCAAAACCCUAAUCUAAAUUGAAAACAAUACAAGUUUCCUUAUUUGACUUGACUUCUAAACUUGACACAACUUCCUAAAUAAAUUUGGAAGCAAUUUAACUACUUUCCUAAAACUCUAAUUCAACUAGAAUAGGAAACUAGCUAACUCAAAUUGGCUUAACUAUGGUCAACAUGACCUUAGCCUUUAUUCCCUAAUUCAAACAACUUACUUAACUCUCAAAUUAACUCUAAUUAACAACUAACAUUGCUGAAAACUCAAUUAAAUAAAUGAUAACAAGAAAUAAGCAUGACACGGGGUUGGAUCUUCAAUGAUUCUCGAGCCCGAUUGCACCAUCAACCAUCAAAUGAAUUUUCCUUGAAUUUGAAGGGAAUCCGAAUCUUCAUGUUCUCAUCAUGUAAACUAUCGCUUUAUGCUAUCCAGCCUUCCCUCACCUAACUCCCUUUUUUGUUAUUUUAGUGAUGGGUAAAAAUAACGUAUGUCAGAGUGGUGAGAAGGACCAAGAGCCCUAGAACAUUUAUAGAGUCACAAUCCCUCCCAUCAUGGGAUAAUGAUAAACUCUAAUUUUCUUAUCGUACUUUAUUUGUUAACCAUAAUGAUAAGAUACAGUUUAAAAUUACUGUAAUUAUCAGAUAAAGUACCACAAUAAAUAUCAUAUAAUAUGUUCACAUACAAUGAAUAUGGGACUCCCUACUUCCUCCAAUCAUCUAUUCUCAUUAGAGCUCUGUAAUUGGUUAUUCAUAUUUAUUCAUAUGGUUAUUCAUCCUUCUAAUUAACGGGAGUUAUCUUAAUAAUAUUAUACGUGGUCAUGUAGGCCACAUAAAUAUUCUAAUAGGAAAAUCUUCUUAAUUUGUAUAGUAUCUUGCACAAUCCAACUUGGAAAGUCGUACUACUAAUUUGGGAAGCAAAAGAAACGGAGGAUCGCGCCUAAUCUUUGGCCAUUUUGUUCAAUAUUUCUCCCAUUUUACAUUAACCCCUAGUUUGGUAUGUGAAAAUGUCCAGAAUAAAAAAAAUCUUUCCACUUGGAAUACCUUUUCACCAUGAUGGUAGGGAGAAAAAUUUAUCAUUUUACUGUCUAGUAUAUAAGGCAAAAUAGAAUGUUCAUUCAUUUUUAAGUGUUUGAAAUAAUCAAUAUUAAAAUACCAAAAUACAUUACAGUCGAUACAAAUUUGAUUUAAUUACCCUAAAUUAGUUUACGGGACACAACAUGCUUUAUUACUUUUGUCUUGUUGGUUCUAUUGUGUUAUUUGUUUGUUUACAUGGAAUUUUGACAUUUUUUGUAUUCGAAAUAAUUGAUAAUUGAUAUUAAAAUAGUUCAAUUGUAAUAAUUGAUUCAUUCUAGAAUAUAGACCUUUACAUUCAACUGUUGCAUCUUCUGGCCAUAUAAUUAAUAUAAAUUAUAUGAAUCUAAACAAAUAUAAUAUAAUUUCGAUUCUUAUUAAAAUUUGACACUCCUAAGAAGUUGUAUGAAUUAUCAAAAAAUUGAACAAAGUACUUAUAUUGCUUGUACGCAAAAUAUUUAAGAUUGACGAACAAAACGAUGGCCUGCUGCCUACAUUCUUUCACUUUCUCACUCUCUAUCUCUUCCUCUAGAGAGAGAAAGAGAAAAAAAUGGUGGUACAGAACGGACUCUCUCAAUUUUUUCUUUUGCCUCCCUGAUUUUCUUUUUCCAAGGUUUCUUGCCCUUACUUUCUUCUACCCAACUAAUUGCCCAAUUCUUGUUGGGGCUGAACCUAUCUAUCUAUGUGUGAUUCAAGAAAGAAAUAAAACUAAAACUGCUGCUGCGCGCCUUAAUUGGUCCUCCGUCGUCUUUGCCACUGAACGGAUUCCUUCAUUUUUUUUUUAGGUGUGGCUAGAUAUUGAAAGGGUUGAAGAAAAUUUAAGAUUGAAUUUGAGUCUUUGCACUUGCAAUUAAUUUGUAGGUGUUCUUGGUUUCUUACAGUUGAUGACGGAUUAUUACUGACGAGUUCCAUGGGAACUAUCUUCAGUUACAAAUAGAAAUAAACUGGAAAUUAUUUCAUAGAAUGGUACCUAAGAUAAUGAUUGUGAAAUCAGUAUUCAUCGCAAGCAGAUUGUCAUAAUUAAAGAUGUAAAGAUAUAUAAGACUGUAGCCAGUUUGUGAUCGCUAUAAAAAUAGAAAAUAAUAUAAUAUAUCAUUUGUCCAAACAUAAUAAUUCCAACUUCACACAAGUUAAACGAAUUCAUUUAGGAUUAAGUCGUUAAUGCCUUUGAGAAAAAAAGAAUAACUUAGUUUAGUUAGAUAAAAUAUUUUUAUAUUUAUUAAAUUAUUUUUAAUUCAUAAACGGUGAUCAAGUCAACCCGUUGGUGACUUGAAUUCGACCUUUUUUUUUUCAGGUUCAUCGGGUUCGACCCAAUUCUAACUCAAACCCAUUAAUUUCAACCCAAACCCAUUAAUUUCAUGUUAGAUUCAUAUUAUAUUUUCAGGUCGUAUCGAAAAUUGCCUCCUCUAGAUUUAACUUACCAAAAAAGAAAAAGUAAAUUUCAGCUGCAAAGCUUUGAGUAAUUUUGAAGUGGGAAAAUCAUUUGAAAAGCUCUUCACAUUUCACUAAAUGAAUUUUUUUUUUGUCUUUCACUUUUAAAAUAAUAAAUUUACGUUUCUUAAAAAAUCAAAUCUGUAAAAUUAAGUUCAACCUAGGUUUUCGACUACUUUUUACACUGAAUUUAUCAUGUAACCCAAAUAUGAUCAUUUUUUCGGAACAGAAAGGUUAAAUCUCAUUUGUAGUCGAACAAAUGGCUUGAUCCAAAAGAGUAAGAUCUGACCUAAAUCAUAUUUAUUUUUUCCUGAAAAGUGGGAUCUGAUUUAAUUCAUAUUCAUUUUUAUCCUAAAAAAAUGAAAUUUGACUUUUUUAUACAUAAAAAAUGAUUGCAUGUGAACCACAUGGUGAUUUCAAGCUAAUGUUUUUGGUAAAAAACUUAGAUUCGAACAAAAUUUUGUUAACUUGAAUUUGUAAGGGACAUAAAGCUAAUAUUUUAAAAAUGAAGAACCAAAAAAUUUAUUUAACAAAAUAUAGGAGACGUUUUGAAAGAUUUUCACUUUUGAAGUUCAGUCUUUUGAAUACUGCCUAUCCUUUGAUUUCCUAUUGUACUGCUUUUCAGUGAUUUAUUGAGAGCUCCUAUUUGGAAAUGGUCAAACCUAACAACGGAUCUCAGCGUUAUUUGAAACCAUGAAAACUGCAAAGACAAGUUGGUCAUUAAAAAAUCUACUACAGCCAACGACAUUAGCCUUAUUUGAAUUGCAAGUUUUCACAAACAAAUUUUGAAAUAUUUUUUAGUCACAUAUUUAUCUUAUAGAUGUUAUAUUAAUUAUUAUAAUAUAUUUUUCUAUGAAACUCUAUGAAAUUAUAUACGUUCUAUUAUCUUAUAUACGUCAUGUCACUAUAUAGUAUAUUUUUCUAAGAAACUCUGUAAACUUACAAUUCAAACUGUAACUUUUCAUUUUAGUGCGUCCUUUCUAAGUGAUUUUAGUGCGUCCACUUCAAUUCAUGCAUGAUAGUCCAGAAUUCUGUAGAAGGACAAUAAUUUAGGAAGGACUGGAAAAUUCAAUGGAAACAAGACAUGUCGCAUUCGGAAGUGCGAUAAUGUAAUCAACCUCACUAUUAAAAGAAGAACAAGAUUGUAUAAAUCCAUACAUCAAAUCCGUAUUCAAUAGCUUUAGUCGAAAUUCGUGCUCCCCAAGAAAGUACAAGUGAACUUCUUAUUCAUCAAAUGUGCAUAAACAAUAUGAUGUGGCCUAGAGAAAAGUUCAAGCUAAGAUGCUCAAGUAUAAGAUAAAAUUGAGUGAAGGGAGAAGGUUGAUUUAGACCUAUUCAUCAUCAAUUUUGAUUUACAUAUUCCAAUCUGUUGCCACAAAAAAAAAUCAAGCACAGGGAAAAUUAUUUUAAUAUAUAUAAAAAUAUGUGAAAAGAGGAAGAGAAUAAAUACACAAUAUAACUUAAAUAAUUUUAUAAACUAAACUCAACAUUAAUACUCACAAAUAACAAUUUGAGAAGCUUUCUCUCAAUGUCCUUCAAGAAAACAAUGAGAUGGUACUACUCAAUUUAUAGAGUAUCCAACGGACUAUAGUUACAAAGGAAUACGACAAUGGGCAAAUAUAUAUAUAUAUAUAUAUAUAUAUAUAUAUAUAUAUAUAUUGCAAUUCUGAACAGGCGAGGAGUAUCCCUCUCCCAAAAUGAUAAAUGUAACUUGCUAAACUUGAAUGACCAGACAUUAGGAAAUAUUUCUUUGCCGCAUCAACUUCUAAAUUCUUCAACUCACUAGACUAACCAAAAAAAAAAAAGAGUUGCCACAUAACUAAUUUAAUUUAAUAAUUAGUCUUGGUUUAAUUACCUGCUGGACUUGGAUUUUAUCUCGGGAUAAAACUCAAAUCCAACAAAAUAACGGUUGGUGGGAUAAAACUCAAAUCUAACAUUGUCUACACAACCAUUAAUCAUCUUUCUUGGGCAAUUACAUAAUCAAUCCAAUCUUGCUAAUUGUCAGCCUUGAAGGACAACGCUUGGAAAUUAAUUAACAGCUUAUCAUAUGCACUACAAAAUACAGAAGUUUAAUCCAUAGGUUUAUUUGUAGACCAUGUAAUCAAUUGGUGAGCCACACUCACCAAUUGAUUCAGUGAUGUAUGUUUAUAUUACUAGCAUUAGAUUAUAAAGAAAAUUGAUGUGGCUAUAGAGUUCAAAAAUAUCUUUCAAACCCGUUUAGAUUAGGUUAGGAUACGCCAAGAACGAGAUAUGGGAGGAUAACAGUUGCAUGUUUUUAAUUGUCGGCUGUCUAUUCUGUAUCGACGUGGAGACUUGGAGCCGCGAGCUUAGAAAUUAGUGACUUUCAUAACUUAGGACAGGUUAGGUAAGUACAAUAAUUGCCCCAUCCAUUAUUACGCACUCAAAGGGACCCAUUUCACAUUAUCCUGCUCGGGAUGUUUGCAUUUAAUUUGCUGGGCAUUUAUCUGAAAGGAAUAUUCUUUUAGAUGCGUUACAUGCCAAACGAUAGCAAUAAUUAGAACUGUACAAUUUGUAUGAAGAGUUGGAGUCAGUCCCAUUCGCUCUUGAGCUGCUGUGUUUCACAUUUCUAUGUUGCACUACUAUUUUAUGACUCGUCGAGAGAGACAUUCUAUUGUGUCCGGAAAAAAAAAAGAAUUGGAUUUUUAUUCAUUAUUGCAUCGGAUAUGUCAUUGGUGGAGUCAGAACCUUGUGAUAAGGGUGCAAUGACCAAUUUCAGUGUAAAUCAUACUUUUAGGCUUAGUUUGGGAGUUUAGGAUAGAAAAGAAAGGAAGGGAAAACUCAAGUUAUGAGAGAAGAGAAGAGAAGAAGGGAUUGUUAUAUUGUUUGGGAGCGUUGAAAAUUAGUGGAAUGAUUUUGGAUAUGAAAAUCAUUAAAUAUCUGUUUAAUACCUUUUUAAGGACAAAUAGGUAUUUUAAAAAAAUUGAUAAGCUUCUGAUGCGACUGCCGAGAGCGCGUUCCGAGCUGAGCUGCGCUAGGCUGAACGAACUAAGGAUGACUGAACUGGUACUAGCGGGGUGAGCGAGCUGACCUGCAAGAAAGACCGGGGCUGGUUCCUCGGUGUAGCUCUGACGGUCAAGUCAGUACGAGUUUAAGAGUAGGGUAACAACGUAGAUAUUGUUGAUGGCGUACCUUGCUUUGUCUUGUGGUGGUGUAUUUAUAAGAUCCCGAGUAGUAGUUUCCCUAUAGGAUUAGAAGUCCGACUAGAAAGGGAGUCUUUCUAGGGUUUCGUCUGCUAAUUUCGAAAGGUUCGGGGGCUGCGACCCACCAGGCCCAUCCAAUUGGGAGGCGGCGCCCAUGCGCGAACUGUCCUCCCUCCUGCCCGAGCUGUUUGGCCGAACUGCCAGGUCACAAUGUCCGAACUGACACGUGGCUCCUGCGGAUUGGCCCCACUACACUAGCCCCCCUUUGAGUCUAUAGUCAUCGAAAGAUCGCAUGAAUCAGGACCGAAUUUCGAGGUGACGGGUCAGUUCGGUGUGGGACCCAUAAUCCCACGAUUGCUGCCUUUGCUCGAGUAACCGUCACUUCAAGCGUUACGUCCCUUCAUAAUGACGGUUACCAGCCCAAUCGUCGCGCAAUACAGCGGUCUUUCGAUAAAUAAAUUUUAAUUUUAAUUUGGGACGCUUGACAGGUGCUGAACCUGUGCAAUAAUAAUAAUAAAUAAACCUAACUACCACCAACGCAGUCAAUAACCAAUUCUAGGUACUGGAACAGAGACUCUAGGUGUGCAAUGGGUUACUUGAUUCACCCUGUUCCCAAAGAGUUUGCUUAAUCCGAUAUACCAGAAUUAAUUAGUUGACAAAAUUUACUAACUAGUAGACAGUGGCAAGCAGGGUCGUCUCCUCAGGGAUUGGAGAUAUUUGUCUCUUUGAAGUUCCAAUUAGUAAAAAUGGGGGUUUUAUCGGAAUAAAACUAAAAAUAUUUAAGCAAUUCAACUAAAAAUAAAUAAUUAACUAGCACGAAUGUAGACAGGAAUUAAAUCAAGAAUAGAUAAAUUCUAACCAAGAAUACAACUACUCAGACACAGUCCAUUCAUCCAAUCAUUGAUGCAAGAGAUGUUCACUUAAUUUAUUAAUAGAUUAGUUAUAGUCGCCGACGAGCUCUGACGACCAAUUUUUCCUUAAUUUAUUGAUAACCAAGGUACGACAAUUGAUUACUUCUAACCAGAAAAUACUCCUAGGUAGGACCAUAGGAAUUAAUUUCUCAAUUGCAUUAAGAAUUAGAAAAACCUAACUCCAAUCAAUAACACGCUACGAGGGUUAUUCAAAUCAGAUUGCACGUCCCCCUAGUGUGUAAAAACGCUAGUUGCCACUGAUAUUAAUCGAUUAAAUAAUUACGGAUUUAAUUGACUAAUUUGGCAGGAGAUUAAUAAGUCGCAUUGAACAUUGGGCCCUUGACAUUUAAUUAACUAAAUAAUCCCAUAGAAAUUCAAACAGACAACGUGCAAAUAUUAACAAAUUAAGAAACACAUGAAAAUUAAUUCGAUCUCACAGAUAUUCGGGACUGCGUCGUCGCGUUGAUUCUUGACUAGAUGAAAAGCUUAAUCACACCGCAUAAGUAAAUCUCCACGCAAAUUAAUUGAUUCACAAGCCAUCACAUUUGUCACUAGAUAAUCAAGAAGUAAACGAUGUUUCUCCAGUCGGGACUUUUGUCGAACAAGAGUCACGCAUGAAAAGGAAAAGAAAGAAAACUAAACUGUCUCUAAACAAUGACUAAUGCUCCCUCCGUCGUUCUUGCCGCAUUGAGAGAAAAGGUACAAAAAGAAAGCUCUGCCGAAUUCCUGGUAUUUCGUUUCCUCUUGGUAGGAGGACUCCUAGUCAGCAACUCUUCAUCAACAAAAGGAAAAGGGAGUCGUUGCUUAGUACCCUGUGGGCCAGAUUCGUGAAGCUUUUUGAAGUCUCCCACGUGUGGAGCAAUUUUCUCCAACAGGUCCCCCUUUUUAGCACUUUUCAGUUCCACUUCCUGUAGAUGGUCCAAAUACCAAAUAUAAGUAUAUAUUAACAAUUUAAAACAAUAUUUGGUAAGGACAAAAGGGAAAAUUAACAAUAAAAUUACUAACAAUUAACACCCUAUCAAUUCCCCCCAUACCUAAAUCAUGUUUGCCUUCAAGUAUGAGAACAACUAAACCCAACAAUGGUCAACUCUCACGUCAUCUAUUUUCAAGCUGUGUUUAUACCAAAAUCAAGGUUCAGUGGCCAAGUGUCAAGACACAAUCCUCUCGGUUAGCUCCUGAAAUCACAGACUCGUCUAAUUCAUGGCUAACUCAUCUAGAAAAUCAAAAUAUUAAACUAGCAAUAGUCAGGAAUUGGUCCAACUGGCGACCAAAAUCUCAACAUUGAAGAACAAGGAUCGGCAGGCCAACAUGAUCAUAAGCUUACAUAUUUUUCACAUCUGUUCUUUUUCUUUCUUCCUUUUUUUUCUUUUUCUUUUUUUUUCUUUGUUUUUCUUCUUUUUUGAACGAAUAAAUGCUUAGUCCCAAGCCAUUCAAGUCUUUUGACAUGAAUUCUAACAUUUUUAGAUGAAAGAGUUCAGUUACUCAACUUUUCACCGCUUCAAGACCACCUACUCAUAGAUAUCGCCACUGUUUUGACGCGAGAGUCGACACUUGUGGUGACGACUCCCGGUUACUGGGUGACGACACUAGCGAAGUAUAGCCAUAUGUUAUUCACAACAAAACACCAAAAUAUCAGACAAUUAAAGAACAUGGCCCACGUCAUCUCCUAAACAUGGAGAACUAAGGUCAACAGGGGACCAAUCCAUACAACAGUUGCCAGCAAAAUAUUUAUAUUGCCUAAACAAGUUAACCACAAUUCGCACAAAGUUAUUAAACUCACAGUAUUCACCAAGACAAUAUGCUCUUACUUGCCACCGAAGCUAAAUUUAUAGAAUAAAACACAUCUAGCAAUAGAAGAGUGAGUUGCCAAUCAAUUGUUGAUCACCAAGAUAAGCAGUACCAAAAACAAAAAAUAAAGAGACACCAGUUGAACCCCCCCACAACCGAAUGGUACAUUGCCCUCAAUGUAACAAAUAAACAGCAAAAACAAGAAGAAAGGCAACGAAACUUCCCUGAAGUCGGGGUCACAGCGGUGGGUGAGGCGGAAAUGGUGCUUGAUGAAGCGGCAGCGAGUGCAAGAGGCGGUGGCGGCGCUUGGCAGUCGUGCGCGAGGAGGUGGCAAAGGGAAAAAGCAGCGGCGAUAAAGGAGGGUUUCGGCCGAAAUAGAAAAGGGAGAAGGAGAAGCAGGGCAAAAGAGGAAGAAAAGGGAAAGAAAGAAAGAAAAGAAAAAAAGAAAGAAAAAAAGAAAAAUAGUUUUUUGGGGUUUUCUCUCUUUUUUUUUUAAGUCAAAAUUUAAAAUUUGGUAUUUGAAAAUCGAAAUUCUGAGUUGAACGGGAAAUAUUUUUAAUUUUCAAUUUUUUAAUUUUUAAUUUUAAUUUUUUAAUUUUAAUUUUUUUUUAGGAUCUUGGGUCGUCAAAUAUGACGUGGGCACGCCAAAAUUAUAAAACGUCCAUUGACCUUGGGAGUCACUUUUUGCAACUUAACGCGUGCCCUCCUCGCGUAGGCACGCCAAGAUUCCAUUUCCUGCUGACGUCGCGAGAUGUUGAGAUUUUACCAACAUGGCGUGGGCACGCCAAGAUUGAUAAACGUCCACUGACCUUGGGAGUCACUUUUUGCGUGCCCUCCUCGCGUGGGCACGCCAAGAUUCCCUGUCCUGGUCACAGUGGGAAAAAAUAUGAAAAUUGACUAGUAGCCAAAUGAGAAACGACAAAUCGAAAGAAUUAAACAACAAAACAAAAAAAAAUAACAAAACAAAUAUUUGGAUUGCCUCCCAAAAAGCGCCUUUCUUUAACGCCUUUGGCUAGACGUUAAACAUCACUUCAAUUUGGAUGUAAUUCAAUUUUCGUUGUAAUUUGUGGCCUUCCUCCGGGAUCCAAAUAGCCAUUGAGUGUAACUUUUUUCCUUAAUUUUUUACUCAUUUUCACCUCAUGAAUUGCUUUCAUCCCAUGAUACUUGUUCGCAGCAACUUUAAAUUUACCCCUACAAGUAAAUUCAGAAAAUUCUUGCACAGAGGGAUUAGUAGCAUGCAUAGCGAACACAGAGUGAGAGUUUAUAGGAUGUUUCAUUGUAUCAAAAAUAUUAAAAUGGACUAUUUCUCCAUCAAAUUUCAUUGUAAGAGUACCCUUACUAACAUCAAUCUUAGUUUCGGCAGUACUCAAGAAUGACCUUCCUAAUAUAAUGGGUGAUGGAUUUGGGGCACUUUCAUCAUCCAUGUAAAGCAUAUAAAAAUCAGCAAGAAAAAUUAAUCCAUCUACUUGCACUAAAACAUCCUCAACUACCCCAUCCGGGUAAGCAAAUGUACGAUCAGCCAAUUGAAUUAUUAUCCCUAUUUCUUUCAAAGGUCCUAAAUUUAGAGAAUCAUAGAUUGAUUUAGGCAUUACAUUAAUAGAAGCUCCUAAAUCUAGCAUGGCAUUUUUUAUAUUAGAAUGUCCAAUCUUACAGGGGAUAGUAAACAUACCUGGAUCCCCAUAUUUAGGUGGUAGUUUCCUUUGUAGAAACGCUGAAACGUUCUCACCUACCACAAUAUGCUCAUCCCCCCUCAUCUUCUUCUUGUUGAUACACAAGUUUUUCAAGCAUUUAGCAUAUUUUGGCACUUGCUUGAUCGCGUUCAACAAAGGGAUAUUGAUUGCCACCUUUUGAAACACUUCUAGAAUCUCAUUUUCCUUAUCUUGCUUCUUCGAUUUCUCCAACCUGCUAGGAAAAAGCGGUGGGUUAGUUUUAACUAUAAUGAAUGGGUCCAGGAGUACCUUUGGAUCCUUGUUGCUUCUGCCCUGCUCUUCAAACUCUUUCUCAAUUCGUUCCUCAUCCUUGUCCUUAGGAAUCACGAGCUCGGGUCCUUGGAUUUGCUUUCCACUCCUCAAGGUCAUUGCGCUCACAUUCUUCAAGUUCAGUUCAGGUUGAGACGGCAAUUUUCCAUAAGUUUGAGAUUCCAGGUAGUUGAUUGCUAUUGCCAUCUGACUCAUCUGACUCAUCUGACUCUACAUUACUUGCACCUGUCCCAGUUGAUUCCUCAUAUUUUAUAGGUCAGAAUCCGUCUUUUACUGAUUAGCAAUUAAUUGCUUCAUCAUCUCUUCCAUAGACGGGCUUGAGUUUGAAGGGGGUGGUGGCAGGCGAGAUUGAUACUGUUGUUAGUACCCUUGUUAUCUAUUUGGUGCAAAAUUCGACUGCCUAUUUCCUCCAUAACUAAAGUUAGGAUGAUCUCUCCAACCCGAAUUGUACGUAUUGGAGUAUGGGUCGUAUGGCUGUCUUGGCGCGGGCGCGUGACCAGCCAUGUUCACUUGUUCCUCACUUUCUUCCUGAACCAAUGGACACAUCUCUGUAGAGUGACCCAAGGUAGCGCAUAUCCCACAUACCUUGGCUUGUGAGGCACUUUCCACAGCUAGUUAUCGCACGAAAGACGUCAAUUCAGAGAUUUGUUGUUGGAUGGAGGAUGUUUCUACCUCAUUCAUCGUACGCGUCGGGGUGUCCUCUCUUGAACUGAACUGCUGUGAAUUCUCAGCCAUCCCUUCAAUCAACUCCUAUGCUUCUCGAGGAGUCUUGUUCACCAAUGCUCCUCCACUCGCAGCAUCGAUUAUACUUCUGUUCCUGAAGAGUAAUCCCUCAGAGAAAUAUUGGAUGAGCAGUUGCUCACUUAUCUGAUGCUGAGGGCAUUUGAUGCACAACUUUUUAAACCUCUCCCAGUACUCAUAGAGGGACUCGUCUGGGUGUUGUUUGAUACCGCAUAUCUCCUUCCUCAGACUUGCAGCUCGAGACGCAGGAAAAUAUUUGUCCAAGAAUUUUUUCUUCAAUUGGUCCCACGUGGUAAUAUUACCUGGUGGUAGGUAGUACAACCAGUCUUUUGCAGAGUCCUUCAAGGAGAAGGGGAAGACCCUCAUUUUUAUCUGCUCUUCUGUGAUUCCCGGGGGUUUCAUACUGUUACAAACGACGUCGAAUUCUUGCAAGUGCUUAUAGGGCUCCUCUCCUGGUAGACCAUGGAAAGAUGGCAAGAGGUGAAUUAGAUCAGAUUUUAGUUCAAAGGGAGUGUUAUCAUUCAAACUUGGGAAAGUAAUGCAUAAAGGUUGCUGAUUUAAAUUAGGAGCAGCGAACUCCCUUAAUGUUCGUGCAUUAGUCAUAGUGACUUUCUCUUGAUCCGAGUCACUCGAAGUGUCACCAAACGAAUCUGUUGGUUCAACUUCUAGCUCAGGUCUCUGAAAUGUAUCACUGAAGUGCUCUUCUCUGAGUUGUCUGGUCUCUUUCCUUGUUCUACGCACAGUCUUCUCUACCUCGGGGUCGAAAAUUAAUUCACCUGUACAAGAAGAACGAGGCAUACACUUGAAAAGAAUUAAAAAUUAGAAAAAAAUGAACUUAAAAAGAAGCAAAUAACUGACGCCAAUCCCCAGUAACGGCACCAAAAAUUGACAGGUGCCAAACCUGUUCAAUAAUAAAAUAAAUAAACUAACUACCAUUAACGCAGUCAAUAAUCAAUUCUAGAUACUGGAGCAGGGACUCUAGGUGUGCAAUGGAUUACUUGAUUCCUGUUCCCGAAGAGUUUGCUUAAUCCGAUAUACCAGAAUUAAUUAGUUGACAAAAUUUAUUAACUAAUAGACAGUGGCAAGCAGGGUCGUCUCCUCAGGGACUGAGGAUAUUUGUCUCUUUGAAGUUCCAAUUGGUAAAAAGGGGGGUUUUAUCGGAAUAAAACUAAAAAUAUUUAAGCAAUUCAACUAAAAACAAAUAAUUAACUAGCACGAAUGUAGAAAGGAAUUAAAUCAAGAAUAGAUAAAUUCUAACCAAGAAUACAACUAUUCAGACACAGUCCAUUCAUCCAAUCAUUGAUGCAAGGGAUGUUCACUUAAUUUAUUAAUAGGUUAGUUAUAGUCGCCAACGAGAGUUCUGACGACCAAUUUUUCCUUAAUUUAUUGAUAAUCAAGGUACGACCAUUGAUUACUGCUAACCAGAAAAUACUCCUAGGUACGACCAUAGAAAUUAAUUCUCCAAUUGCAUUAAGAACUAGAAAAACCUAAUCCCAAUCAAUAACACGCUACGAGGGUUAUUCAAAUCAGAUUGCGCGUCCCCUUAGUGUGUAAAAAUGCUAGUUGCCACUGAUAUUAAUCGAUUAAAUAAUUACGGAUUUAAUUGACUAAUUUGGCAGGCGAUUAAUAAGUCGCAUUGAACAUCGGGCCCUUGACAUUCAAUUAACUAAAUAAUCCCAUAGAAAUUCAAACAGACAACGUGCAAAUAUUAACAAAUUAAGGAACACAUGAAAAUUAAUUCGAUCUCACAGAUAUUCGAGACUGCGUCGUCGCGUUGAUCCUUAACUAGAUGAAAAGCUUAAUCACGCCGCAUAAGUAAAUCUCCACGCAAAUUAAUUGAUUCACAAGGCAUCACGUUUGUCACUAGAUAAUCAAGAAGUAAACGAUGUUUCUCCAAUCGGGACUUUUGUCGAAAAAGAGUCACGCAUGAAAAGGAAAGAAAGAAAACUAAACUGUCUCUAAACAAUGACUAAUGCUCCCUCCGUCGUUCCUGCCGCAUUGAGAGAAAAGGUACAAAAAGAAAGCUCUGCCGAAUUCCUGGUAUUUCGUUUCCUCUUGGUAGGAGGACUCCUAGUCAGCAACUCUUCAUCAACAAAAGGAAAAGGGAGUCCGUUGCUUAGUACCCUGUGAGCCAGAUUCGUGAAGCUUUUUGAAGUCUCCCACGUGUGGAGCAAUUUUCUCCAACAGGUCCCCCUUUUUAGCAUUUUUCAAUUCCACUUCCUGUAGAUGGUCAAAAUAUCAAAUAUAAGUAUAUAUUAACAAUUUAAAACAAUAUUUGGUAAGGACAAAAGGAAAAAUUAAUAAUAAAAUUACUAACAAUUAACACCCUAUCAACGCUUCGUCUUCCCGCUCUGGUGGCCUAUAAAUAGGCUCCACUAGAUGUCACUUUCACGCUUUCUUCCUCAUUUUCUCAGCUCCCCAUCUUUUACUCAGCUCGCUCAUCUCCUCCUCCUACGAGAGUUAGUUCGGGCGUCCUGUCAAGAGUUCAGUCGUGCACUGCUGUCCGUGCGUCUCCCCUAAGCACCACUGAGCGCUCGAGCUCUUUUCCCCUACUCUUACUAGUAAGUUCCUUUUCUCCCUCCUUUUAUAUCUUCUUCCUCUGAGCAUUCUGACAUAACUAGUUCGGCCCCUAGGCGUAGAGUAGCCCGACCUGUACCCAUAAAGGUCAUCUCUUCCUCUCCUUCUCCUUCCAGUUCUUCACCUUCCAGCUCGUUAGAGUCAGAAUAUAUUCCUUCCCCUGCUCUUUCUCCUGUUCGAGCAAUGGCUCAACCCGAACAGCCUAUUCAGCCGAACAACCUAUUCAGCUUGCAGCUAGAACUGCUGCCAAGCAGUUCCACUUGAGGCAACUCCUCUACGAGCUAGGGCAGGGCCCUCCAGGGGGCCCGAUAUUGACUUCGGUGAAGUGGAUCUUAUCCCUCCCAUCCUGGAUCAGGGGGAUGUGGACGAAUAACCCAGCUCAUCCCUCCCAAAGGGGACUAGUGUUGUGGGGCCAAUCCGCAGGAUCGGGAUCGGGACGAUAAGGUUGUCAUGUAAUUGAUGCGACUGCCGAGAGCGCGUUCCGAGCUGAGCUGCGCUGGGCUGAAUGAACUGAGGAUGACCGAACUGGUACUAGCGGGGUGAGCGAGCUGACCUGCAAGAAAGACCAACGGCGGGACUGGUUCCCUGGUGUAGCUCCGACGGUCAAGUCAGUAAGAGUUUAAGAGUAGGGUAACAGCGUAGAUACUGUUGAUGGCGUACCUUGUUUUGUCUUGUGGUAGUGUAUUUAUAAGAUCCCGGGUAGUAGUUUCCCUAUAGGAUUAGGAGUCCGGCUAGAAAGGGAGUCUUUCUAGGGUUUUGUCUGCUAACUCCGAAAGGGUCGUGGGCUGCGGUCCACCAGGCCCAUCCAGUUGGGAGGCGGUGGCCAUGCGCGAACUGUCCUCCCUCCUGCCCGAGUUGUCUAGCCAAAUUGCCAGGUCACAAUGUUCGAACUGACACAUGGCUCCUGCGGAUUGGCCCCACUACAGCUUUCUUAAACUUUUUUCUCAUUUCUUUCCAAUUUGGAAGGAAAAAUUUUGGCUACUAUUCAUGCUCUUAAAUUCUUCCACUUCCUUUCUUUUCUUUCCUACUAAAAACUAACAAAUGAAGGAAAAUUUAACUUUUUCUUCUUUCCAUUUCUUUUCUGUCCAAAUCCUCCACUCCCAAACGAGCCCUUAGAUUUAUAUAAUAAAUAUACAGUGUGCUUUUGAUUUAAAAAGUGAAAUCCUUUUUUUUCUAUUAGUGUUUAAUUUGAAAUAAAUCUUAAAUUUUUGUUAGAGAUAAUCAAUAUAAAGUAUUUUUUUGGAGUAAAUGUAGAAUAAGUGAGGAAUAUAUAAAACUUCAAAAGAUAACCUAUAUAAAGAAGGGAAUUUUCUUAAAUUUGACUUACAAAUGAAAGAGAGAAUUUUAUAAAAUUCAGGGGUGCAAACAUGGUAUAAACUUAAAAAUUUUGAAAAAUUUGAAGGCCGUUGUACAAUUUUAUCAAAAUUGAGGGGGCCGGGGAGGGAGGGCAAUUGUCUACUCCUCAAUCCUAUGUGGCUGGAAUACUUAUCAAUGGAAUAGAUAGUAUAAUAAGAUUUUAACAGCAAAAAUUGUAGAAAAAGGGAUUCUUUGCCGAACUAUUCGACCCAUAAUCUGAAGCAUGUAGUGUUUUGGAGCAAGGGGGUAAGGUGGGAUCAACUCCAUGGCUCAGAGAGGCAAAGUGCCAUUCAUCGCCUAAUAGAUAAAUCCUUCUCUCAGUUAAAAGCCACACUGGUUUGCAACUAUCAAUUUGAAAAAAGAAAGCUAAUUUAAGAGGCAAUAUUUUAAGUUGUUUAAGGAAUAAAAAUGUUGAAAAAGCAUGAACUCAACUUUGGCCUACAAUAGGUUUUUUUUCUGUCUCAACAAUUCUUUUCUUAAUAUUCUUUUUAACUUUAGUGCUGUCAAUUUACUUCAUGGCCCAAAGGCAAAAAAACAAAGACUAGUGAUUGACACAAGAACAAUCUUUAAUGCAAAUUUCAAACUCAUUAAGAAAUGAGAGUGUGAAAUAAACAUUCAACGCGAAGCAUCUAAGCUGGAUCGCAGGCUGGAUGACAUUGAAAUUGUGGUGAAGAUAAGUUUUCAAAGUCUCUUUCAUUUCAGCUUACCUGUUCAUUGAUAGUUUCAUGCUUUAUGAUAAAAUUUUUUUCUUGAGCACUUUAUGAAAAGAAUAUUUAACUCAGUUUGCUCACUAACUAAUGAUUACACAAGCACUCAACUUCCGCACAUUUGCACGGGCUUAAUCUUGUAUUCUUUCUUUUUUUUUUAAUAAAAAUAUUAUUAUUUUAUUAAAUCUAUACUAGUGACAAAAAUUAUAUAAAUAAUAUACGGAUACAAACAGAUCUAAAUAGCAAGUGCUAAAUGUUACAGAUCUGAAAAAUUAAUAGAAUAUUAUACAGUGGAACUCACAAAAAUCAAAUGAUAAAACAUUUAUUGCUAAGAUUAUCUAUGCAUGCUUCCAAUUGUACGGUUUACUUCUUCCAGAUGGUAGGGUGAAAUCUGAGGGAUACAUUUAAAAAUUUUCAAAUCUGGCAAUCAACUUCGAAAAAACAAAAAAGAUCUAACACAAGAAAUAGAAAAACUACAAAAAGUCUCACCAGGAAUCCCACAAAAUCACGAUCGCCAUCUUUACAGCAGCCAUCGUCAACCAUUUGAUCUUCAAUUUUACCGUCUUUGGAACAAAAUUUUUCAUUAGAUUUCAUCAUAUAGCCCAAUCUUGCAGUUCAUCGUCACUGUGCCAGCACUGAAGUAAGCCCUCUUUUCCAAAUUUUCUUUUUUUGUAACUUGAAAUUUGUGUGAAUUAAUAUGCGCAACCUAUGGAUGUUUGGAUCUUUCAUAUUAUUAGUCUCCUCGAAUUUGUUCCUUUGUUCAUUCGUAUGCAAUUUUUUAAUCACAUAUUCUGUUUACCUGAGGAAGUCUGAAUUGUGAUGAAUUUUGUAUUGAUUCAAUAUCAAAUUUGAUUAAAGGGAAAAAGAAACUGCCCUACGAUCAUAGCAUGUAAGCAUGAUGGAAAAAUGCCUAAACUAAAUACAUUGUUGUUCACUGUUUUUUUUUCUUUGGUGUAAUUGGAUAUUGAAACGGUUGAAGAAAGGGAAAGGAAAAUUUAGGAUUGAAUUGGGGUGUUGGCACUUGCAAUUGAUCUGCAGGUGUUUUUUGUUUUCUUACAGUUGAUCAUGACGGAUUAUUAUGGACGAGUUCCAUGGGAAUUAUCAUCAGUUACAAAAAGAAAAUAAACGGGAAGUGCUUCAUAGAAUGGUAUCCUGAGAUAGUGAUUGUGAAAUCAGUAGCCAUCGCAAGUGGAUUGUCAAAAUUAAAGAUGUAAAGACAUAUAAGACUGCAGCUGGAUUGUGAUGGCUAAUCUUAUCCUAUGUAGUGAAACUUCUUGAUCUAUGAAACUCAUGUACAACAUGAGAUAUAUGUACACCAGUUAAUUUAUUUGGGUCUUUACAAGUAAAUUUUCACUUCAGAUUUAUUGUAGUGUUAUUUGAAACCAUGAAAACAGCAGAGAGAAGUUGAUCAUGAAAAAAACUACUAUAGCUGACAAGAUUGGCGUUAUUUGGAUUGUCGGUUUUCACUUAAAAAUUUUGAAGUAUUUUCUCAAUAUAUUUUUCAAUCACUUUUUUAACUCACAUACAUCACAUUAUUAUAAUAUAUAUAUAUAUAUAUAUAUAUAUAUAUUUAACGAAACUCUAUAAACUUACAAUUCAAACUGUAACUUUUCAUUGUAGUGCGUCCUUUAAAGUGACUUUCAUUUUAGUCCGUCCAUUUUAAGUGAUUUUAGUGCGUCCACUUCAAUUCAUGCACAGGAAGGACCGGUCCCAGAAUUCUGUAGCAGGACAAUGAUUUAGCGUGGCCUGGAAAAUUCUAUGGAAACAAGGCAAGAAUGUCACCUUUGGGGUGUCCAAUAAUGUUAGUGUCAAUCAACCUCACUAUUAAAAGAAGAAAAGAUUGUUGAUAAAUCCAUACAUCAAAUCCGUAUUCAAUAUCUUUACUCGAAAUUGUGCUCCCCCAAGGAAGUACAAGUAAACUUUUACCCAUCAAAUUUGCAUAAACAAUUUUGUGGCCUAGAGAAAAGUUCAACCUAGGAUGUUCAAGUAUAAGAUAAACAUGAAUGAAGGGAGAAGGUUGAUUGAGGCCCUAUUCAUCCUCAAAUUUGAUUACAUAUUCCAAUCUAUUGCCACAAAAAAAAAAAAUCAUGCUCAGCAAAAAUUAUUUUAAAAUAUAUGAAUAUAUGUGAAAGAGGAAGAGAAUAAAUACACAAUAUAACUUAAUAGUUUUAUUAACUAAACUCAACAAUAAUGCUCACAAAUAACAAGUUCUGAGUACUUCUAAUCUAAUUGGGUGUGUGUGUUUCUGUCUAUAAGAGAGAGGAGUAUCUCUCUCCCAACAUGAUAAAUGUUUAUAACUUGCUGAACUUUAAUAACCGGGACAUUAGGAAAUAUUUCUUUCCCGCAUCAACUUCGAAAUUCUUCUACUUACUAAACCAACAAAUAAAAAAACUUGCCACAUAAGUAAUUUAAUUUAAUAAUUAGGCUUGGUUUAAUUAUCUACACAACCAUUUGUCAGAUUUCUUGGGCAAUUACGUAGUCAACCCAACCUUGCUAACUGUCAGCGUAGAAGGACCUUAGAAAUUAAAUAACAGCUUAUCAUGCACUGCAUAAAAUACGUUUAUCUGUAGAGCUCGAGCUCGUAAUCAAUUUGUGAGUCACACUGAUCAAUUUGUGGGUCUUAGAGGUUUGAAGUUAAGAGGUAAUUCCGGCGAGAUUUGGAGUUGGGAAUUUUUUUUAUUUGUUUUCUUGCCUCCCAAGAUCUUAUUCUCCUUUAUUCCUUUGUUUGUUAUUACUUCUUUUUUUUUUUAAUGAGUUUUAAGAAGUUAUGGUGAUAGUGGUGGUUAAGAGGUUGAUGAUGAUAGUGGUGAUGGGAUGAUCAAGAGGUUGGUGUUGAUAGUGUGAUGUUCGGCUAAUGAAGACUGUGAGAUUUGGUAUGGAUUAUUACUUGAUUUCUAUUUCUUUUGAUGAAUUUUUAGAUAUUAAUUUGUGCUUUUUGAAGGGAUUUUGUCUGAGGAAUAUUUGUAGGGUUUAUGAAUUUGACUUUAUUCAGAAGAUGAAAAUAAAGGAAGGGUUAUUUUUGGAGGUUUGGUAAAUUUGAGGGUAAACAUGUAUAAUCUCUCUCUCUUUAUCAGAUUUAACUUAGUUUGUAAAUUGUGCAAAAAAUUAGAAGUUGAAGUAAUGGACUGCUAAAUUUAAAGUUUGGGAUGCAAGUUCCAAUUGCGAAAUUGUUGAGGGGUGCAAAUUACAAUUAACACUAUUUCUAUUUUAUUUUAUAUAUACAACUUGUUAAAGGACAACUAAGGAGGCAAUGGGGCGGGGUUGGGGUGGGGGACCCCAUCUCCGUCCGCUGCCCUACUGCCUACAAAUUCCCCCCCCCCGCGCCCAUCCCCAUCCCCCGCUUCUCCGGUGGCCUAAUAAAAAUUUAUUAUAUAAUUUUAUUAUAGUUAAAUUUUAGCAAAUAAUCAAGUACUAAAAUAUCAAUACAUCACCAAAUUAUUAUUCAUUGUAAUUUCACAAUUGAAACUUAUAAAAACAAUCAAACAAAAGUUAUUUGAAUACAAUCCAAUAGGAUGAAAUAAAUACAACUAAAGUAGUCAAGUUUCACUUUGGCACAAAUACAAUCACUAAUUCAUUAUUGUGCUUGUGCUUUUUUUGAGAAAAAAUGUUAUUGUAUUAAGUGUAAUUAGGGAUGUAGUAUAAAUGUAUUAGUAAAUUUAGUAUAACUGGUGGCUGUCAAACUACAAAAAUAAAAUUUAUAUUAGACCUACUACCAAAACUAAACAAGUAUAGUGGUAAGUAGGGUCGUCUCCUCAGGGAACCGGUAGAUUUAUCGCACACAGGUAAUUGGGGAAUUUUUGAAGAGAGAGAGAUAAGUGAAACAAAUUAAAGACAUAAGAUUACUAAAUAAACAAUCGCAAUAAAUGCAAUAACUCAAGAAUGAAAUAAACAAUUAAUUGACACAACCUAGUCAAGGAGAUAAUCUCGGCACCGGUUCACACAAUGAUUAUAGAUACCAGGAUAAUUCACACGUUCGCGAAUAAAUUGGUUCUAUCAAUUUAGCAACCGCCAAACUCCCAAUCUCUCCUUAAUUAUAUGGUAGUCCAAAGACGCUCUUAAACUACCCUAUUGUAAAUUAGAUAACCCCAGAGACACUCGAAGGAUUUAAUCUAAUCACAACUUUAGGAAUUAGAGAACCCAAUUCUAGUUAACAAACACACAUGCGGGUUCAUUUAAACUAGAUUAAUUAUUCCCACGACCCAGAUUAGAUUAGACUGCUUGCGAGGCAAUGAAAUUGUGCCAUUCGCCACUAAUUUAAAACAUUCAAGUGAUACGCACGCCUGUCCUAAUUGGCAAUAUAUUAUUUAGACAAUUGAACAACUGGCCAUAUUGAUCCAAUCAAUCCAAACAAUAACAGGCAAUUCAAACAAAGAAUAAUUAAAUACUCACAAACGCAGAAUUUAGAAUAAACAAAAUGAUCUCACAAUUAUUCAUGCUCCGGGCCUUGAUACUCCUCAACUAGAUAAAGAAAUUAGCCUUGCCGCAUAACGACGAAGCAAUUCAAAGUUUUCAUAGUAAUUUCGUUCAUGAAGAAAUCAAAAGUACGUCGGCUAGUUCUAACAAAGAUAAAAGCAAACGAGAAAAAGGUCCAAGUCAGAAGAUGAGAUCCCUAAUCUAUUGCAAUCUUCCUAUUUGUAGUGUCGCCGCCGCUUCCCCUUGCUUUUCGAAUUAGAAUUUGUUUCUCAAAAGGAUUUGCGUCCUUAUUUUCCUCCUUGAAUUGUUGCCAAAAGUCUUCUUUGAAAAGGCUUCCUAAUCCCACGCAGGUUCAAAAGGUGUCUCCAAAGAAUAGCGAAAGCUCCAGGGAUAACUGACGGUGGCUCCGUCUUUUUCACGCAGCUCUGCGUUAUCUGGCGUGGGCACCCAGAGAAUGCCUAGCCUUCUGGAAUUUGCCCUCCUCUUGUCACUUUUAACACACUCUCUCUGCAAAUAACACAAAUACCAAAUAUGGGCAGAAAUCCAGUGUCUUACACAUUAAGACCAAAUAACAGCGAAUAAAACACACAAUUAUCUCCCUAUCAAUAACCAAUUAAUAAUUUGUAUUAGUACAUAUAUAUAAUUAUUAGUAUAAUUGAUAAUAUCAAUUAUAUUACAUAUACUAAUAUACAUUAUAUAAUACAUAUAACUAAUAAUAUCAUUAUCAUAAGUUUGUAACUAAUUAAAUUAUAUAUUAUAUAUAUAAUUAUAUACAUAGAUAUAUUAUAUAUUUAUUUUUUUAAAGCGGGUGGCGGGGAGGAGAUAGGGCGGGGGUACACUCCCCUGUCUCCCACCCCAUUUCUAAGCCCCAGGGGUGGGGGGGGGGAAUUCCCCUCGGCCCCGUACCACCUCCCACCCCAUUAUCCCCCGCGGGACGGGUACCGGCGGCCACCCGCCCCAUUGCCAUCCUUAGGGACAACUGUCGUAUUAAGAGAAAUAUUUUAAAGGGAUAAUUUCAUAAACCUCCCCUGAGGUUUUUGAUAAUUUUAUGUGGCUCCCUUAAAGUUUCAAAAAUUACAUCUACCUCCCUUACCCAUUUAAAAUGACAAUACUAAUCUUAAUAUUUUAAUAAAACUCUCUUACUUCCAUGUUUAUAAAAAGGAUGGAUUUUACAAUUUUUUUUCUUUUUUCCUUCUUAUUCAUUUCUCUUAUAUUUCAUUAGAAGUAUAAAAGAACUAUCAAUGUUGUCGCUAAUAUCUAUCCAAAUCAAACUUUAAACUAGUAAUUUUUUUGAUGACUUUUAAUAUCAUCCAAUUUUUUGUAGCUCUUUUUUUUGUAUCAAAAUCAAGAAUAAAUCAACAAUAAUUAAAACACAAAUGGCCCAAAAUCACUACCAAACUAUGGUAGUUCUAUCACUAAACUAGUCCAUAAACUUUUAUUAAAAAAAUAGUCCAAAAAUUUCAAAAGCACAAGGUAACACUUUCUUGUCUAUCUUAAAAAGAAUCUAUAUUCCCAAUAAAGCACUAUAAAAAAUAGCUUAUCAUAGCAAAAGAUUUAUUGUUAUAGUUGAUUAUUAAAUAACAAAUAUUGACAUGAAAAACUUGGGACUCUUUUAUAUAUAUAUUAUAUAUAUAAUUGUGUCAAAUUACUUUACAAUUGUUUAAAAGAAUGAAUUGAACUUUAUAAUUAUCAUCAAACUUUGGCAAUCAACCUUUCCUUACUUUAUCGAUAAUCAGAGUAUGGUCACUAACUACUUCUCUGACUAAAAGAUAACCCAAGGUACAACCAUAGGAUUAAAUCUUUUAACAGCACCAAGAAUUAAAAAAACCUAAUUCUAAUCAACAAACAUGUUGCAAGAGUUCAUCUAAAUUAUAUCAUAUAUUUCCUGACAUAGACCCAAUUAUGCUAGUCAACACAAAUAUUAAAACAGACAAACAAUUACAAAUUUAAUUAUUUCAAUUGACAGUAGACUAUUGUGAAUAAUCAAAUAUUGGCCACUUAUUUAAUUACACACAAUAAUCAUCAUACACGUAAUACAGGAGAUAUACAAAUACCCACGAAUAGAUGAAACAGUAAACUUAAAUUAGAUAUCAUAAUUGUUUGUAGAACCAAGUUUUUGAUUAUCCUCUAAUUAGAAAGAAAAUUUAGCCACUUCUUAUGGAGAAAUGCAGCCAAGAAAAUUAGGUUUUUGUCUUGAGAGAAGAAAAAAGAUAAACCACCUAACUACGAUGACAAAGUGUAGAGAGAGUUGGGAAUUAGAUAUCGAUAUUCUCACCCUAACAAUCUAUAUGAUAAUCUCCUAAAAAUUAUUCCAAUAAAAGGAAUUAUCUUCCAUACUGGAAUAAUCUAUUUUCGUAGAUAAUGAUAUAAUAAUAUCCUUACUAACUAGUUGCAUCCAAAAAUAAAGUUUUCAAGGCUGCAGAGAAUCAAUCAAUUAUUCUCUUUAAUUGUUGAAAUUAAUCUCAGGUCCCACAACUUCUGAAUUUCCUAGGCUCUUUAAGGCGUGCCCAUACUUUUAUAGCAAAUAGACUUUUCAGCAACUCUUUUUAGUCCUCUUUCAUCCCAAAUUCUUAUGACAUCACUAAAACACAAAAUAUAAGUAGAAUCCACAAAAUAACACAAUAAUCUACUAAAAUGAAAGGAGAAUUGACACAAACUAUAUCUCAAUUAGGCACACUAUCAUUUAGUGACACAUGAUGAUGUAAGUAAUAUUACAUUAUUAUGAUGAUAUAUGUGCUCUUGAGUAUGCACCACAUCGUCCAUGAGUGGUUCCGAAAAUCAAGUUUUUAAGAAGGUUUUAAAACUGGAAAUCUUACCGGGUCAUAGGUUAUUAGUUCAAUCGUUAGGCUACAUGCUGUGUUUUCAGACUCGGACCGGAUCGGCCGGUCGGACCGGUUGGACCGGGAACCGGCCAGGCAUCCGGUCCGAGUUAGUUAAAAAACUCGGAUGUUAUAAAAUCGGUCAAACCCGGUCCGGUGAACCGGAAAUUUUGAUUAACCCCGGUUUUUUUUUCUUUUUCGGCCUUUUUUUAGUCAGAGUUUGACAAAUCGGACAAAAUUGAAAAUUGACAAGGUCACAAAACUUGCGUCGGCUACUCUGCUGCUUCUCUUCUCAUACAUUUUCUUCCUUUCUUGACUUUCUUCUUCAGAUCUCCACCGCAUCUCUUGAGAUUCAUCGAUCAUCCUUCAAUCUCUAGCCUCCACCGCCGCAACAGCCACCAGUUCCUUCAGAUUUCAAGACAAUCAAGUAAUUAGCAUGCGGGUGAACUGAAGCUUUGUUUGGUAAUUUUUACAAUCUGAAGGUUAUUAUUGCUGAUUCGUUAUGCUAAAGUUGAUAUGUGACUGGAAUUUUUUGAUUCAUUAUGCUGGACAUUUGGGAUUUGGAUAUUACGGGUGUGACUGAGAAGCUGGAGUGUUUAAUUAUAUUUGGGAUUUGGGAUUGGAAUAGUGGGGUCAGGGGAUCAGGGAAAACGGCUCUUACACGGAAGGUGUUUGAUAUUUUGCCUGUGAGGAGGAUGUUCUCACCGAGGAUUUGGGUUUCUUAUAUGAUACCCUUCAUGAUGAACCGGUGAGCGUAGACUUGAGAGUGAAGAUAUUGAGGAAAAUGCUAGAGGCAGUCUGGUUGUGAUGUCUCGGAAAUGAUGACUACCUAUGUUGACAUUCCCAAGCUCACUCAGAAGCUUUACCAACGGUUAAUGGGCAAGAAACUGAGUUCUCACUUCUGGUCUAUCUUCGCUUGGAUGUUCAAAGUUCCAUGCAGCCAUCAAUGUAAAUUUCUGUGAUAUUUGUCUCUAAGCAAUGAAAACUUAUUUUGUCUUUUGUCUUAAAAAAAAAAGAUUGAUAUUUAUCAAGCAUUUGAACAUGAACUUGCUACCUUAUUUGGAUUGCUAUUUUUUAAGGAUUAAACAUGUAUGGGAUUUCUAUUUUAUAAAUUUUGUGAGUUUGGAUGAAUUUGGUUAUAUUUUGUAAAUUUGAUUUGCAGGUAUAUAUAUAUAUAUAUAUAUAUAUAUAUAUAUAUAUAUAUAUAUAUGAGGUAUAUAUGAUGUCAUCCGGGUCGACCCCCUAUCGACCCCCGUCGAAUCCAUUGACCCCACGACCUGACCUCGACCGAGUCGAGUCCUGGUCCGAGUCUGAAAACAUAGGCUAAAUGUUACCAAGUCAUUGUUAAUCUGUGACAUCAUAUAUAUCAUAAAUAAUUAAUGUCAAAAAUCGUUCAAUACGUCCCUUAUAUUUUGCUAAAUGAUUUUUUUGGUCCUUCGCUUUUAAAAUGUUAAUUUUAUAUCUAUUACAAAUUCAAGUUAGCAAAAUUUGGUUCCAAUCUAAAUUUUUGACUACUUUUUAGCCUAAGAUCGCCAUGUGACCUAUAUGCAAUCAUUUUUUAUGUAAAAAAAAAAUGUCAAAUACCACUUUUUUAGUGAUAAAAAUAAAUAUGGAUUGGGUCAAAUUCCAUUUUUGUUUUAAAAAAAUGAAUAUGAUUUGGAUUAGAUCAUACUUUUUAAAGUAAAAAUGAAUAUGGAUCGAAUAAUUUAUUUAACUACAAAUGGGAUGUAACCACUGUUUAAUACUAACAACUGUUAAGUGGAUAGGAACACGAAUAGUAAGAAAUUUUGGAUUUUGUAAACAAUUUUGAGCAAAAUUAUAAUUUUUUAAAGGUGAAAUGAUAGAAACUUAAAUAUGAGGUAACAUUGAAAUCUAAAAGUAAGUAUGAGGGCUAAAUGGUAAAAUGUCAAAAAGUAUAGUGCGUUAAUCGUUUCCUAUAAUUAUAUAUGCUAAUGUGGGGCCACAUUUUUUUUUUUUAAAAAAGAAAAGCAAGACUCAAAACGGUUUAGUAAAAACACGUCGACGGUUCGUUGGUCCGACCAAACGAUCUAGUUGGUUUUUACUAUCUAGACCGAUUUUUUGAUCCGUCUUAGUUUGAGACUUGGUUUAGUUCAGAAAGCUACUCGAUCAAUAGUUCAAUCAGUUCGCUCAAACAGUCAAAACUGAGUUUUAUAAUAUUAGUUUUUAUUUAAAUAUUUUCAAUACCCAUUUAUAAGAUUAUGGCAUUUGUAAGUUCUCCAAGAACCAAAAAUAAAAAGAUAUUUGUGCUAUAGUUGAAAUGAUGAGUGAAGAAAUUUACUGAUGCUGUCAAUAAUGUAUCGACGGGAUACUUAAGCAACGAAUAAUACUUUUCUUUGGGUAAACUAUCAAGUAUUAUUGAUGAAGCACAUAUUACACGAACCUCCAGGGGGAUGGCCACUAUUUGGCCCGUCUUCAAUUCGCCACACAAGUAGCUGGACUCAUCUAUAAAAGGGUCAAUCUUUGGGCAACCAAAUGCACGCCAAACCCAAAAAUACACACGAAAGCAAGCCUGCAAAAACAACAGAGAGGAAAAAAUGGCUCCCUGUUUUAGAGCACUAGUCAUAGCAAUAACAUCGCUGUUGAUGAUAUCUUCAGUGAUCAGGUCUUCCGAUGCUGCUGGAAUUGCCACCUACUGGGCCAAAACACCGACGAAGGAAGCCUGGAAGACGCAUGCCGGAGAGGUACCUAUGACUACGUGAAUCUUGCCUUUCUGAUAAAUUAUGGCAAUGGCCAGACACCAGAAUUGAACUUAGCUGGGCAUUGUGAGCCAAGCGCUUGCUCCUCGCUUAGUUCUGAGAUAAAAGCUUGCCAGAAACGAGGCAUCCAAGUGCUUCUUUCUCUCGGUGGAGCUCCAAAC
Molecule: long non-coding RNA, 57094 nt
Filed under: Coffea arabica (coffee)
Lineage: Eukaryota; Viridiplantae; Streptophyta; Magnoliopsida; Gentianales; Rubiaceae
Description: long non-coding RNA (CARA_LNC008258)
Rfam family: Plant small nucleolar RNA R71 (bases 42469-42575)
Source: RNAcentral